This 50936-nucleotide long non-coding RNA is filed under the name Nicotiana tabacum (common tobacco). Its description in RNAcentral is "long non-coding RNA (NTAB_LNC001952)". The record is from RNAcentral. Lineage: Eukaryota; Viridiplantae; Streptophyta; Magnoliopsida; Solanales; Solanaceae.
GAGGAAGGGGUAGGCCAAAAGGUUCUAAAGAAAAGGUGAAGUUCUUCCCUUUAAUGUCUUUUUUUUUUUAAAUAAUUACCAGAUUCUUACUUUUGAUUGGUUGAUGUAGGAUGUUGGUACUAGCACUGAUGUAAGAACACAAUAUAAGAAGCCAAUGAUGGUUGGAAUGGGAGUUUUACACACUCAAAGUGGCUUCAAAAUUCAAAAUGUAAGUCUAACACAACCUCUCAUAUUUAGGCGAAUUCAUUGUCUGAUUUUCUGUUGGAUCUUGGCAGCAUGGAAUGUCACCUACAAACUUUAAGAAUGUGAGGUCUUCGGCAGAAGUAACUGGACAUCUAGGCCAUCAACCAGUGUAAAAUGGAAAGGUAAAGAAGCUAUGACAUCAAGGCAGCUUCAACAAUUGAGAGGCAAGAAACUCAUUCAAACAAGGUCUAGGGCUGCUAAGUUGAGCCAGGAAAGCACCACUACAAAUCAACCCAAUUGAUGAAGAUAUUGUUUUGUUGAUGACUGUAUUGCAAUAGACUGCAUUAUGCUAAAAUUUUAAGCAGCUAUAGACUGCAAUUCUAUAUUAUGAUAAGGAUUUUUAGGUAGCUAGAGACUGCAUUUUGCAUUUUGUUACAUUUGGUAUAUGUUUUGUUGCUGCUACAAUGACAACAAACAGCUGUUUUGUCAACUCAUUUUUGUGACUUUUAUUAUGUUUGUUUCGUUUAGGUCAAUGAGACCAAAUAUGUGUUUCAAUAUAGUUUAUGCAUCUGUCAUAUUAAGUCUUUUGUGUGUCUAUUGUUGAUUGCCAAGUUCUGAAGUUUAUGCAGUUUACUUCACAAUGUAAAAACAGCGCUUCAUUAGAAAUAACAAUUGAUAAGCAACAACUAUAUACAUAUUGAGAUGAGAAAACUACAAAAGGCUUACAUUCAAAUGAAAGGUCUAUUGCAAACAUACAAAAUAAAACCUACAAGCAACAACUACAUACAUAUUGAGAUGACAAAACUAGAUUCACAAUGGCAACCUCAUUGCAUCUUCUUUCAAUGACAUUCAUGGAUACCUACAAGCAACAAGUAUAAUACGCAUCCCCAAUAUAAUGAACCAAAGUACAUUUUCCCUAGCUUUUGACUUAGCCAAUUUACUCUUCCACUUCUUUUCCUUCUCUUUCAUCUUCUUCAUAUCAACUUACAAUUUCACCUUGGGUUCUGAGGGGUCCAAGCUGUUAACAAAGGCAGCACAUAGCCAUGGUUGCAUCGAAUUUCUCCACUUGACUCAUUUUCUUCCUCUUCCGUGCAAAGCCUUGUCAAAUUCAAGCCUUUUGAAGGCAUUGCAACAACUACAACACAAACAGCCAAUACAAAGUCAGAUAAUUUGCAUUUGCUUUCAAAGAUCAGAUAAUUGAAUUUUAGGAGAAAGACAUAACAAUAAUAAAAGAAAGAAAUUAGUGUUCUUAAGAAUAAGAAAGAUUAACCUUUGCCUUCAAAGAUUAAAACUUCAAAGGGCAAUACAAUUUGAUGGAAUUUCAGAAGAAGAAGAAGAAGAAGAAGAAAAAGAAGAAGAAGAAGAAAUUAGGGUUCUUCAAUUGGGUUUGGUAAAAUAUUGGGGAAGAGGGGAUUUUACCAUUGAUUGGGGGUUAUAUUAAGGUUAAAAAUUUAUUUUUUUCUUUUUUUUGUGGGUAUUUUCAACGAUUAAAAGAGAGUAAAGACGCGCUCAAUUCGGUUGUCUAAGACGUGCGGUUGGCCAGGCCUUAGGAGGGAGUAAAUAAAUACAAUUCUUUAAAUAAUAGUGGGGUGUUAGGACACCCGUAAAGUUUAGGUGUGUAAAUGAUUUUCCAGGACAAGUUGAACGGGUCUUUAUGCAUUUUCUCUUUUCUUUUUAAUCUAUAUAUAAAACAAGGAGUAUAAUUUUAUGUUUAAAAAAAUUAGUUUUACACUUCUUAUUAUCUUUAAUGAAAUGAUUUUAGCCAAAUAAAUAUUUAUAAUUCUUUUAAAUUAUAGGUUUCAAACGUUUUUUUUCUUCUUAAAUUUCAUGAUUUUUUAGCAUAUGUUGGGCUGCUCAUAGAAACAUUUUUUUUAUUGGAAUUAGUUAAGUAGCAACUUUUAUAGCUAGUUAAAAGUAAUAGUACUAUAUACUUUAACUUCAAUUCACGAUCAUUAUGAUUAAAUUAUUUGAUUUGGUGUUAAUAUUGAGUGCAAAUACGAUUAUUUUAGGAAUACUAUGGUAGGAGUUGGAGUAGGAAGAGCUUGCAGAAUUUUUAGUUUCGUAUGCUGUGUGUAUUAAGGGAUGAGCAAGCAGUUUUCUAACUUAAAUAAAUUACCUAGUCGUGCUAAAAUGUUGAUAAGUUGCUCAUUCCAAAUUUUAGGUUUCACCUUAAGCUCGAUUGUUAGAAACUGCUUCAACUUCAAUUGCUCAUUAUGGAUUUGCUGAAGUUCAUAAACUAGAAGAAGCAACCAAAGGAGAAAACCUAGCACCUUACCGGAUCAUUUUACCUCUUGACAUUUCGACAGAUAACUCUUAGCAUUGUAGGCUCCAACUGUUUUGAGCUGCUCAUAGAAGCAUUUUUUCUUUGAAGUAUCCAAAUAAGAUGGGGUAUGUUAUAAAAUAAUGACUUUAAAGUAAAUGAAUCAAAGACAUUAUAGAAAUAAAGAGUAAUAAUUAUUCAAUUUGAAAUUGAUGUAUAUAAUGAACUGAAUUUAUUCUUUUUACAUAGAAGAAAAGAAGAUGUUGUGUAAGCUGCCAUUACAAGCUGCUGUGUAAACUGCUACUGCAAGCUGCUGUGUAAGCUGCUACUGCAAGUUGCUAUAGAUAAUCUUUUACAGGGGGUAAUAUUUAUCCAUAAUGGAGUACUGAAAUGAUAAGCUUUUUCAAGAGGCUUAUUUCCAAUGGAGUACUAAAUUGAUAAACAUAUUUAGGGCGGAGUUCAAUAUGGAUAAACUCCUUCAGGAAGUUUAUUUACAGCAAAGUAUUAAAUGGACAUCCACAAUACAAUAUAUUUAUAACAGGGUAGUCCUUAAACAAUUUUACUUAAUCCCACAUUCAUUUAUCUUAGAGUUCACAUAAUUGAAUCAUCCUUCAAGCAAUAGCAGAGGUAUCAAAUUUAAAAAAAAAAAUAAGAAAAGAAGUCAAGGAAAUUAUAUAUACAUAAAGGAUAGGUAAUAAAUAGUAUAUUAUAUUAUCACACGUUAAACUAUAUUAUGAGUUAUAGUAUUGGUGAAAGUAAACAUAAACUAUUUUAAAAGUAAAAGCAAAAAAAGAAAAAGAGUUACAGGCAGGUCUAUACGUUUUGGACCAUAUUUUGAGAAGAUGAGGGUUGAAAGAGCAGGGAGGAGUAUAUUUGGAAUGAAAAUGAUUGUCGGAUUGUAUCUUCUGUCUUCUUUUCCUUGGUAGUAUAGGACCUUAGGUUAGUUUGCACAAAGAGGAAUUUUGACUAAGUGCAUUUUCAACCUUUACUUCAUUUUUUAUCUCUAAAAUAGGGAUUUGCUCAUUUUAGGGAUAAUUUAUUUCAACCAUUCCCUUAUUUUUUUUCCCAAACCUUUUUAUAUUCUUCUCUCUCUUCUAUAUUAUAUUAUUAUCUUUCAUUUUAAUUUUCAUUAAACAAAUUCCAUGUUUUANNNNNNNNNNNNNNNNNNNNNNNNNNNNNNNNNNNNNNNNNNNNNNNNNNNNNNNNNNNNNNNNNNNNNNNNNNNNNNNNNNNNNNNNNNNNNNNNNNNNNNNNNNNNNNNNNNNNNNNNNNNNNNNNNNNNNNNNNNNNNNNNNNNNNNNNNNNNNNNNNNNNNNNNNNNNNNNNNNNNNNNNNNNNNNNNNNNNNNNNNNNNNNNNNNNNNNNNNNNNNNNNNNNNNNNNNNNNNNNNNNNNNNNNNNNNNNNNNNNNNNNNNNNNNNNNNNNNNNNNNNNNNNNNNNNNNNNNNNNNNNNNNNNNNNNNNNNNNNNNNNNNNNNNNNNNNNNNNNNNNNNNNNNNNNNNNNNNNNNNNNNNNNNNNNNNNNNNNNNNNNNNNNNNNNNNNNNNNNNNNNNNNNNNNNNNNNNNNNNNNNNNNNNNNNNNNNNNNNNNNNNNNNNNNNNNNNNNNNNNNNNNNNNNNNNNNNNNNNNNNNNNNNNNNNNNNNNNNNNNNNNNNNNNNNNNNNNNNNNNNNNNNNNNNNNNNNNNNNNNNNNNNNNNNNNNNNNNNNNNNNNNNNNNNNNNNNNNNNNNNNNNNNNNNNNNNNNNNNNNNNNNNNNNNNNNNNNNNNNNNNNNNNNNNNNNNNNNNNNNNNNNNNNNNNNNNNNNNNNNNNNNNNNNNNNNNNNNNNNNNNNNNNNNNNNNNNNNNNNNNNNNNNNNNNNNNNNNNNNNNNNNNNNNNNNNNNNNNNNNNNNNNNNNNNNNNNNNNNNNNNNNNNNNNNNNNNNNNNNNNNNNNNNNNNNNNNNNNNNNNNNNNNNNNNNNNNNNNNNNNNNNNNNNNNNNNNNNNNNNNNNNNNNNNNNNNNNNNNNNNNNNNNNNNNNNNNNNNNNNNNNNNNNNNNNNNNNNNNNNNNNNNNNNNNNNNNNNNNNNNNNNNNNNNNNNNNNNNNNNNNNNNNNNNNNNNNNNNNNNNNNNNNNNNNNNNNNNNNNNNNNNNNNNNNNNNNNNNNNNNNNNNNNNNNNNNNNNNNNNNNNNNNNNNNNNNNNNNNNNNNNNNNNNNNNNNNNNNNNNNNNNNNNNNNNNNNNNNNNNNNNNNNNNNNNUACUUAAUUAAAAUUUUUUUUUUGUUGAAAUUGAUUAUCAUAGGGAUAUGGAUAUGUGAUUAGCAACAGUAACGAUAAACGUAGCAAUCUGUCAUGAUCCAAAAUUCAGGAGUCGUGAUGACAUCUAACCUAACCCGUUAGGUAAGCCAACUGAUAGCUAUCUAAUUUCAAUAAUAUUAAUAAGACAAUUAAACCAAGGAAUUCUCUGAAUCUUAUACAUUUCUCAACGACUGGUAGUACAAAUCAUGAGCUUCUAAGAUUAGAAUUUAUAAAGCUGGUAUGAAAUAAAUACAUCAUCUGUUUGAAAUGUACAUAAACAGAUUUGUAUGAAUCUAAGGCUACCAUGAACAAUAGGUAGCUACAAUCGGAACGCAUGUACAUCUUCCAAUCUGGCAACCAUCGAGCACAACAACAACAACAGCCAACAUCUGUACGCAAUAUGCAGAAGUGUAGUAUCAGUACAACUGACCCCAUGUACUGAGUAAGUAACAAAUCUAACCUUAGGUUGAAAGUAGUGACGAGCUGGAACAUAGGUCGGGUCCAAUACCAAUAACUAAUAACAGUUCAUAAUAACGUAGAGCAUAUAAAUAAGGAAGUAAUUCAGAGAUAAGAAUGCUUAGCUUUUUCACAGUUUUCCGAAAAUAGUUCCGCUUUUUAAGAAUAUCAGUGAAAACUCAAAUCCUCUACCGAAAUCGUUGUAAAAUAUGAGAUAGUUUGAAGACUGUAAUUUAUCUAAAAAAUCCUUUUCACAAUAAAUAAGAUGUUUUAUUUUUUUCCAGAUAGCAAGUGUGAAAUACCUCUCUAUGACCACAUAUCAAUGUGUGUAAAAAAUCACGAAUGACGUGAUACCGUACAGCAUGAGGAAAAUGCGUCUCUAUGUAUGUAUGUCAUAUAUGCAUGCCAAUGCCAUGUAUCCCAGAGAUAAAUCAUGUACCCACGCUCUCAGAGUACUCAAUCUCACUAUUUCACUCUUUCCACUUAUCACGCUCAACCACUCAUUACUGUAUAUGGCCCAUACGACUUAGGAAAAUUCAUCCCGGAACAUAUACAACACUGACUAUAAGUCAUCCAGUACCGAGAAAAAAAGGCCAAUCCAACCCUGUGGAGAAAUCCAUCUCCAAGUAUCAAGUACUUCGAACAAAUCCAUGUCCAGAGAAAUCCAUCCCUCAAUAAUAUCAUCCGCGCUCACUAAGGGUGUGUACAUACUCCGGAGGGGCUCCUGCAGCCCAAGCGCUAUCAUAAUUAUCAAUAUAAUCACUGUGACGUGCAACCCGAUCCCAUAACUGUCACUCAUAAUUAGGCUCUCGGCCUCACUCAGUCAUCACUCUCUCCAGUCUCACCCACAGGCUCACAAUGUCAUGAAGACUAACCCAGAAUAAUGAUAUGAUGUGCCAAUAAAUAAUAACUGAGACUGAGAUAUGAUAUAAAUGCAUGAAUAUGAUUGAGUACGAAAUAUUAAUGGAAACCAGAGAGAUGACAGCAAGAAAUGACCACUAUGGUUCCUAACAAUAUCAGUAUAAAACCUAAACAUGAUAUCUAGCAUGAUUGACAGCUCAGUUACUUAAUCAUAUGGUGAAAACAUAGCUAUCAACAAAAUAGGGCCAUUAAAUAGUGCUAUGAAAACAACGGAAUCCCAAUUCACAGGGUGCACGCCCACACUCUCGUCACCUAGUAUGUGCAUCACCUCAUCAUCAAUCACAUAGCAUGUAAUUCGGGGUUUCAUACUCUCAGCACCAAGUUUAGAAGAGUUACUUACCUCGAUCAAGCCAAUUCCAAUACCGAGCAAGCCAAUCGAUGUUCCAAAAAUGCCAUCACGUGCAUAGCAACCUCCGAACGACUCAAAACUAGCCAAAAGCAACUCAAAUAUAUCAAUUAAAGCCCAAGGGAACAAUUCUAAAUGAUAAAGAUCGAAUCCUAAAUCAAAUCCCAGAUCCGGCCAAUAAUACACCCGGGCCCGUACCUCGAAAUCCAAAAAAACUCACAAAAUUAUAUAACCCAUUCAAUUACGAGUCCACCAUACUUGUUUCACUCAAAUCCGACUCCAAAUCGGUGUUCAAAACUCAAAAAUUUAAAUUAUGAAACUUUAGGCCAAAAUCCUCAAUUUCCUCUUUAAAACUCAUCAACCAAAAGCUAAAAUCGAUGAUAGAUUCAUGGAAUAUAAUCAACUGAGUAGAGAACACUUACCCCAAUUCAUAUGGUAAAAAUUGCUCCAAGAAUCGCCUCAAUCCGAGCUCCAUAGCUCCAAAAAUGCAAAAAUGGCCGAAACCCUCGAAAUAGAGUAUUAUAUAAUCUGUCCGGCCUCCUCUUUCGCGAACGCGGUAGAAGCCUCUCAUUCGUGAAGCUCAAUUCCACACUGCUUCACCUUACACUACGAUUUCAUGGUCGAACCAUCGCGAACCCGAUGAAGAACACUGCCAGCCCCUCCGCUCAACACUACGCGACCGCAUAACCAUGUACCCGGACGCAAAGAACACAGCAUCAACACAAUGUGAAUGCGACUGAGGAAAACCGAACGCAAAGAACAAACCUCUGCACUGGCCUAAUUACCCUCCGCGAAUGCGAUACUCCAUCCGCGAUCGUGAAGCAUAGCUGAAACACCAGAAAAGCAGCAAAACAUAGUAGCGCUAACUAAAGGAAAAAUAGCCCGAAAUCAAUCCGAAACACGCCCGAGCCCCUCGGGACCCCAUCCAAGCAUACCAACAAGUUUAAUAACAUAACACGGACCUACACGAGGCCUCAAAACACACAUAACAAUAUUAAAACGAUGAAACACACCUUAAUUCAAAAUCUAUGAACUUGAAACUUCGAACUUCCACAACCGAUACUGAAACCUAUCAAAUCACGUCCGGUUGACCUCAUAUUUUGCACACAAGUCACAUUUGACAUUACGGACCUACUCCAACUUCUGGAAUCAAAAUUCGACCCCGAUAUCAAAAAGUCCACUCCCGGUCAAACUUUUCAAAAUUCCAACUUUCGCCGUUUCAAGCCAAACUUUACUACGGACCUCCAAAUCACAAUCUCGACGCGCUUUUAAGUCCAAAAUCACUUAACGGAGCUAAUGGAACCAUCAGAAAUCCAAUCCGAGGUCAAUUACUAAAAAGUCAAAUUUGGUCAAACUUUUCCAAUUUAAAACUUCUAGUUGAGAAUCAUUCUUCUAAAUCAAUUCCGAAUAACCUGAAAACCAAAAUCGACGAUUCACGUAAGUCAUAAUACAUCAUAUAGAGCUUCUCAUGCCCUCAAACAACCGAGCGAAGUGCAAAUGCUCAAAAUAACCGGUCGGGUCGUUACAUCCUCCCCCAUUUAAACACACGUUCGUCCUCGAACGUGCCAAGGGUUGUUCACUACAAGAAAGUUUAGAAUUGGCAACAAUCUUUUUACAAUAACAAUAAUAUUGUUGCAAAAUAUAAUAAAUGGCAACAACUUCAUUUAGUUGUUGCUAUAUCAUAGAAUUUUUACCCAUAAUUUUUUUUUGUUAGCAAAAGUUUUAAUAUUGUUGCCAUAUUUAACAAAUAAUAUAAUAAAUUUUAAAUAUAUAUAAACCAGCAACGACUUUUUACCAACAAUAUUAUAGUUGUUGGCUAAGUUUACUAAAUGACAACAAUGAAAUUAGAUUGUUGCUGUAUCAUAUAAUUUUUAACUUAGGAGUAAUAUAAUAAAUAUAAAAUAUAAAGAUAAUUGGCAACAAUAAAUAUAAGUUGUUGCUAAACACAAAACUUUCUCUGCAACCCCUUUUAGUUGUGGCCUAAAAUUUAGUAAAUUUUACGCCAAAAUAGUUUUUCGCCAAAACAAACGUGCCAAAAUAGUUUUCCCCGUUCUAUUACUUUUUCGGUUUUCCCCAAUUUCUUAGUUUCCACUGCAACUAGGUUUUCUCUUUUCAUUAUUUUGCUAAACUAAGAUCUUGCAUCUGGUGUUCAAUUCUUCGAUCUCUUCCACUGUGUUCAACCUCAGAAUCUGGUGAGUUCUCGCUUUUGAAUUCAUUUCUACUCAAUGUCUGGUACUUUGAGCUUUUGAUUUAGUUUAAUGUGUACUCUUCUUCUUAAUUUGCGAUCUAUGGAAUCUAUUCUAUUUUUUUUUCUUUUUAUGAUACAACUCAAAAUUUUUGGACUAGAAAAAAGAUGAGAAUUGGAGAAGAUAUGAUUUUUGAGAAGAGGGUUUUUAUACCUCAAACUGAAGUUUCUCUUGCUGCUAUUUGUCGCGCCCCCUUUUUUCCCUUCUUGACGGGAAAAGUCCAGGUUUCGACAUUCAUCAGGGGAGAUAACUCGUUUCCUUUUGGGAAUUGGGUAUUUGAAGAGUCGUCACCUAACAGAUUAUGGUGUGUUAGGGCACCUAGAUCAAUUAACUCAUGAACUAGUUUGCAUUACCAGAGAUUUGGAUAAGGACUCGAAUAACCUUGAGGGGAAGGUGUUAGGCGCCCCUCGGGGUCCACAACGGUGGGUCCUGGCCGAACAUAAACUAUGUGAAUUAGUCAUUUUAAUAAAUAAACAGUUUUAACACACACUCGCAAAUAAAGGCAUGUUUUUGACAUGUAUGGUUCAAGUAAUGAAAGUAAGGGAAAAGGGUUUGAACAAUUUGCACAUAUGUAAAGAAAGUAAACUCAUUUAAACACCGGGAGUUGGGAAAAGGGGUCCUAGGUUGGUUAGCCUACAGGAUCAUACCCACACAAUGCCUUGUAAUCACUCCUCAAUGAGGGGAUACACGUGACAUUAGCGCGUAGUCAUCAUAUCCUUACUACCCAAUUCCCUCCCCUUGGUCACAACCUAAAGCGUUCUAGCAAUCUUAAAAGAUACCCUAUGCGUGCACUACCUGUCCCUUCCUUGUGGCCCUGGAGGUAUUUAGGACCUCUAAUUUAGGUAGUUUUAGACCAUCCUAAGGUAUUUAAAGGAUAAAAUCUACGGGUCAACCAAAACAAUUAGGACUACAUUUAAAGAGGGAACAAUUAAAGGCUCACAUUACCUCCACAAACCGAACAAGUAAGUGCACGUCUCAAACAACAGUUUCAAGUAUUUAAGAGAAAACUUUAGAGCAUGAUAUCUAGGUGAGCAGAGAAUGGGCAGUACUGAAUUUGGACCAAAGUGUCGAAGACCUAUUCAGCUUGCCUACUGAUUUUAGACCCAUUGAUUAUGAGCAGUCACAGAUAACAAGAUGCAAUUUUAUUGUUUGCAGAAUUUUAAUCGCCCUACAAGCUUGCCUAAACGUAUAACAGUAAUGUCCUAUGAGCAUGAUAUCUAUUAUUGACCAGGAAUGCAGUAAAACAGUAAACGAUUUUUAAACGGACAAUAUGAGAUCCUAUAGGCAUGCUUUCUAGCAAUAUUAAUUAAGGCAGCAUUUGAAAACUUAUUAAGGAAGCGGACAAAUUAGUAAAUUAAACUGAUUCAGAAUAAACUAACAUGAAUUAAACUGUUUUUCUAACUAAACUGGUUUUAAGUCCUAUAGGCAUGAUUUCUAGUUCAACAUAAGGUGAAACAAACAUCAUUCAUUUAACCAAAGUGAAACCCCUAUAGGGAUAAUUUUUAUCAGAGCUGAUUUUAACCCUAUAAGUAUGAUCUCUAUUAUUAAAGCCAGUUUAGAUCCUAUAGGCAUGACUUCUAAUUGUGUGGAAGUAAAGCAACCAGAACUUAUUUUAAACCGAAGCAGAUCCUAUAGGCAUGUUAUCUAACAAACACAUUUGAAUCAAUAAAGACCUUAUAGGCAUGGUAUCUACCCAAUUUUACAUACAAUAUACAACUACCCUCCCUUUUUUCACUAAUCACCCCACUGUUUGUUUACAAUUAAUUAUUACAGACUAAUGAAUUGAAAAAUACAUAAAUAGACAGAAAAUUAAUCUAUAGGGAGCUUGAGGUAGUCCCAAAUGAUUUCCAAGCCUCCAGUAGUCUCAAAUGCCAAAGUUCCAUAGCCAAAUUCAUGCCUAGGUGUGUCAGAGUUCCCUAAGGACCUUAAGGAUCCUGGGCAGUGCUCACACCUAGACCCUUCUCAAAUAAUAACUGAAUUAGGUGUAGUGUGGAAAUGCCAGCCCUGACAUGCCAGAGUUCAGAGAGAUCUUAAGGGUCUCAAGGCAGUACACAUAUUAGAGGGACAAGACCUAGUAUUCUAAGAGUAAGUGGAAGUGCAUAAUGGUUUGAAAGAGUUUAAUAGAUAAUAUAAAGAAAGGUCUUAAGAUUGAAAAGAAUUUCUGAAAAAAAACAGUGCUGAUUUUGGUGAUAAAACAGUUUGAGGAAAGUGUAAAGAAAUAAUUUGCAAUCAGAGCACAAGUCAUAGAACAAAACAAGCUUUAGGAACAACUUUCACACAAGGGAAGAGGGGUUGGGAACAUAGAGAAUACACCUCAAUGGAACACACAAACAACAAGAUAAAUAGAGUUUGAAGCGUUCUAUAGAACUAGUAGGUUAGGUAGAAUGCAGCAAAGAUUACAGUAGAAGCAUGUUGAAGCCAUUCUAGGGAGAGUAAUUAACUUAACAGGAGUGAGGCAGAACAUACAAAGACUUAGAUGGGCAUGCUAAACAAAUAUUAACAAAUGAAGGCAUGCUAAUUAUAUAGAAGCAAAGUUUAGAAAAAAUAGUAGUUAGUCAAACAGGCCUAGUUACAUAUGUAGAUCUGUCAAACAAGACAGCAAGCAAGCAAGCAUAGUGGAAACAUGUUGAUCAUAGAUUUGAGCUGGGUGAGCAGUAAACAGAAGCAAGAAUGGACAUCAGGUCAUAUAAACUAAAGUAGUACAUAAACACAUAGGUUUUGAUUCUUAAAAAUUAAUCAGAAGUAUACCUAGAUAAAGAAAGAAAACACAAGGUGUGAGCAAGGUGUUGUGCAAUUCCCAGCCUUGGCUUGCAGCCGACUAGAAUAACAGAGAUCACAAGUAGAAAAGAGAGCAAAGAGAGCAGAGAGAGAGCCUUUUAGAGUGUAAGGUGAUAGUUUCUGAAAUAUUGUUCGUGUCCAGCAGUUAAAAUAAGAGGGAUUUUAUAUAGUAAUCAAGAGUUAAACAAAAUAAGGUAAGGGAUCAAUUAAGUAGCAAUUAGAAAAAUUCAUGGAAUCAAUCACAUGUAAAAUCAGUAAGUCUUCCCUUGAAUCAAGGGAUAAUCAAUCAACGGUAAGAGCAUGACAGAUAUUUUAAGGAAGGAAAUCAAGUAAGGCAAUUAGGGGUGAAUGAACAGGGGUCCAAUUAAGGAAAUAGUUAGCACGAAUCAGUAAAUAACAAAUAAGGUAAGAGGAAACUAAUUAAGGCAAGAAGUUGAAUUAAACUGAGUAUAGUAAUGAGAAUCAAGGACUUUGUUAGGGAAAAGGGCUCAAUUUAAACUGAAAAUAAGAACUUCAGAAUAAUCAAGGUUUUAACUAAGGAGAAAAUCACGUAAAGAGUCAGCAAAUAUCGCAGACAACUUAAAUAAAGCAAGAAAAGAAUAGUCAGAAUAAACAUAGAUAUAUAUAAUAAGUAGAAAAGUUGAACCAAGAACUUAGUAGAGGUAUAUUAGGAUAAGAAAAUCACGAGACAUCUAAAUGGCUAAAGAGAAAUCACAAGAACCAAGGCAAGAAAAAAGGCAGUACACAAGUAACUCAGAAAACAAACAAAGGAGUCGAAAAAAUUAGGGCUUUUAGUGUAAACGAGUUAAAGUUAGAGAAAACCUAACAAAAUCGGUUAAAACAUAUAAAAAACAGAAGAUUAAACACCCAAAUCAUCAAAUGUUUUGGAAAAAGAAAUUUCGGAAACCCUAGUAUAGAGAAAGAUGAAAAAUAAUUAAAAUAUCAGACAAUUCUUGUAAAGAAUCAAAAGGUUAUUAUAAAACUCAUAUUAAAUAGGUUCAAACCAUCUCAGAUCUGUACAGAUCUAAGAAGUUUAGAAUGAAGAAAUUAGGGUUUCUUGAAGAACAAUCACAUAGAUGAAGAAGCAAGCUUAGAAACCCCUAGAUUCAUGACGAUAUUGGGAGAUCUUACUUGGAACCAAACCGAAACAGUCUGAAACAGGCGAGAAAGGGCCAGAGAUGAAAGCGUACUGACCCUGAUCCCUCGAGGACCUUAGAGAUGGCAAGACCAGCGUGAGGGAGGCCAUUAGAGGCCUGGUGGUGGUGGUGGGGAAACACCAUGAAAGGCAGCAGAUGACCGGCGAUGUGGGUAAAUUAGGGUUAGGGUUUGAGAGCUUUUGAGAGGAAAGGGAUUUCAGGGCGGCGGUUGGUGAGAAAUGAGAGGGUUUGGGGGGUCGUUUGGGACUAAAAAAAGGAAGGGGCCAAUUGUGGCCGUUGAUCUCUAUGAUCAACGACCGAAAUUAAAUGAGAUUGGGGCCGGGUAGGGCGUUUAGUUUUGGGCUGGGUAGGUUUAGGUUGAGAUUGGGCUGGGUAUUGGGUCAAAAUUAAGGCCAAAAUUGAAAUAAAAUCAUGCCAGGUUUUUAAUACCCAUUUUUAAUUAAUAAAAUAAUUUGUAAAAUGACAAAUAAAAUAGUAAAAUAUUAUUUAUGCAUAAAAAAUGAGUAACAAUAAUUAUUCAACACUGUAAAAAUAUAAUUUUUUUUUUGCAUGAAUAUGAAAAUUAUAAGUAUAUAUGGGCUAUUAUUGCAAAUGUACAAUUCUAGCCUUUAAAAAUGCAAAUGUAUUUAUGAUAAAUAUGUUAAAGUAUUUAAAACCUAAUCUGGGUGUAAAUGAUGAAAUUAAAUGAUAAAUAAAAUAAUUUAUGAUGCAAUUAGCGAAUAUUUAUAUAGUAAAAUAUAGGAAUAAAUUGAUUUAAAACUCCUUUAAAUUAUAGAAAAUUAUGAAAAAUGUUUGUAUAUGUCUUAAAAUCAAGUGAUGAUGCAUAUGCACUAUUUUAGAAGUAUAUUUGUAUAUUUUAAAAAUGUGAGGAAAAAAUUGGGUAUCAACACUAUUUAGUGGCGUCUUUUCUGGUUGAGGAAAGUAAAGGAACUUUGAUUUUCAUUGUUUUUACUUUUCUGGAAAAGUUGUACAUUAUCAAGAGUCAAAUUAUCAAGAGAUAUUCCCCUUAAAUUUUUCUAGUCAUCAAUUUCUACCUCUUUCACUCAAAAAGUCUCAAAUUUUGUCUUUUAGUUAGUGGGAAAAGAAGUUAGAAAUUGAAUAAAUUGAUCAAAAAUGUCAAUCAUCACCUCAAUUUGAAAUACCCGGCCGACAUUCGGAAAAAUCAUAAAUAAUUGGUUGUAACUAAUGAAGGUCUAGUCAUUGAUUAACCCAAUCACUACUAGUAUUCCAGUGUUUCCACUCGGUUUGAAGGAUUUCAUAACUUACUGUUUCUUGAGCUUAAUUGGAUGGGAACUAUGAAGUAGUCUUUGUAAGCAUGUGAUUUUUGUCCUAUAUAAAGAUAACUCCUAAAAUAAGUUUAAAUAAUUUUUAUUUGAUUUUUUUUAGGAAUUUUUUUUCUUUUUUAGUUGCAUUUCAUGCAUUUUAAUAUUUCAAAAUCAAAAUAAUAAAUACCAAAAUACUUGGCAUUUGCAUUUAGAAUUUAAUUUUACAUUUUAGGAUAAAUUAAUAGUGAGUUACUUUUAGGAAAAUGAAAAUAACAAAAAUGGUCUUUUUUGCAUUUUUUUAGUUUUAAUCUGUUUAGUUUGCAUUUAAAAUAGGGANNNNNNNNNNNNNNNNNNNNNNNNNNNNNNNNNNNNNNNNNNNNNNNNNNNNNNNNNNNNNNNNNNNNNNNNNNNNNNNNNNNNNNNNNNNNNNNNNNNNNNNNNNNNNNNNNNNNNNNNNNNNNNNNNNNNNNNNNNNNNNNNNNNNNNNNNNNNNNNNNNNNNNNNNNNNNNNNNNNNNNNNNNNNNNNNNNNNNNNNNNNNNNNNNNNNNNNNNNNNNNNNNNNNNNNNNNNNNNNNNNNNNNNNNNNNNNNNNNNNNNNNNNNNNNNNNNNNNNNNNNNNNNNNNNNNNNNNNNNNNNNNNNNNNNNNNNNNNNNCCCAUCUAUAUAAUACACACACACAUAGAAACAGGGAGGAUAGUGAGCAACAACGGAUAGAGGGGAGAAGACAAAGAAAUUUUAUACAAAUGCACUGUAAUUUCCACUUCAAAAUGAGAAUUUACUCAAGAAUACUUUGAAGAGAAAAGAUCAAAGCAUAGCUUCUGAAGCAGGUCCCCACUGUGGCUCCACCUAUUUCGUCGUCAAGCACCAAAACCAAAUUCACCACCGUCGUCCUUUUGCCGGAACUGAUUCACUCACGUACGACACCAGACGGAGUCGAUUUGGCGUCUUAGUCGAGCUGAGUUUCAGUCCAAGUUCUCGCUCGUACUUGACAAGUUGUCGCGUUUUGGAUCGCCGACGAGGUUCCGGUUUGUUAAUUUCGGUGUGUCAGUCUGAGGAUUGUUGCUUGGUUUAACCCGAUUGAUUUGCAAUUUUUAGCUUUGAAGCAAUAAAGGUCCGAUUUUCUUAAUCACUCUUAUUGAUACAUUACAUGUACUUGGUGUUUAAUUUGAGUUUAUUUUACACUUGUAGCCUAAAGUGACAUGUUGUACAAUUGUUGGAAUUAUUCAUCUGUUUGUUGGAAUUUUUGUCGAUGAAUAUCUUAUUUGUUCUUUGGAAAUCAUAUCUAAUAUACAAUCAACUGAAUGUUGAAGUAAUUGUAAGUAAACGGAAUUUUCAUUAUACUUUACGUAUUUUGAAACUACAAUAUAUAUUAUUAGUUGUUGUUCUUCUCCAUUUUGAAAUGUUACGAGUUGUCUUAGAAAUUGUGCUCAAAAUUGUAGUAGAAUUCCAAAAGUUGUCAAAUGACAGUAUUAAAGGAGCAAAUUUGGCUUCAAAUGUUUAGUUUGAAUGUUAUAAAUACUUGUUGCUUCCGGUCAAAUAUAUUGAUUAAUCCUCAAUGUAUUUUCAAUUUCUUAAUAACUAAAGGUGAUAAUUUAGUUAGUUUUAUUAUUAAUAUUAGUGCUAAGAUCUGUUGCUCCUAGUCACGUGAGCUUUGUUUUUAUCUAAGGUUAUUAAUGUGUUUGGUUGAUGAUAAUCCUUCAGCGUAUUUAACUCCUUCAUUCAUGUCAUUCACUGUUUGUCCGCUCCCUUAUGGCUUAGGAGAUGAAGAACAUAUGAACAUCGUAGCCUGCUUUAGGCGCGAUUAAUUUUAAAUUAUUGUGGUCAUGGGUACGGUUCCCGUGGCAUGGUCAUGAUACGUAAAUCUCAAUCGAGGCGUGCCAUUAGUUGAAUUUCCAUGGCCCUCGCAAAUUUGGAAGUGCGUAGUUGCUUUAGGAGUNNNNNNNNNNNNNNNNNNNNNNNNNNNNNNNNNNNNNNNNNNNNNNNNNNNNNNNNNNNNNNNNNNNNNNNNNNNNNNNNNNNNNNNNNNNNNNNNNNNNNNNNNNNNNNNNNNNNNNNNNNNNNNNNNNNNNNNNNNNNNNNNNNNNNNNNNNNNNNNNNNNNNNNNNNNNNNNNNNNNNNNNNNNNNNNNNNNNNNNNNNNNNNNNNNNNNNNNNNNNNNNNNNNNNNNNNNNNNNNNNNNNNNNNNNNNNNNNNNNNNNNNNNNNNNNNNNNNNNNNNNNNNNNNNNNNNNNNNNNNNNNNNNNNNNNNNNNNNNNNNNNNNNNNNNNNNNNNNNNNNNNNNNNNNNNNNNNNNNNNNNNNNNNNNNNNNNNNNNNNNNNNNNNNNNNNNNNNNNNNNNNNNNNNNNNNNNNNNNNNNNNNNNNNNNNNNNNNNNNNNNNNNNNNNNNNNNNNNNNNNNNNNNNNNNNNNNNNNNNNNNGCUAUUAAAAAUUAUUUUCUUAAAUUCGGGUGCGCAUUGAUGCGACCCAAAUCCAAAUCUCGAUGAAGUCGAAAUGUGUUGACAAUCACGGGCGAUUGAUUGCGACGGGGUUCGAAACGCGUUUUCACGACAUCGUAAUUCUUAUAAAAUAAAUAAUGAUAGAAAAGAGGUUCACAAAUUGAGACAAGCCUCACCGAACAAAAAUAAAUAAAUGUGGGGCUCUCAAUAAAUGGUUAUUAAAAAUGAUUAGAAUUUGGGAGCGCCAUUUAGCGAACUUCACGGCCUUCCCCAAAAUAAUAUUACGUUAGAAUCUUUAGGCGCGAUUUUAAUUAAAUUACCUUCUUAAACUCGGGUGCGCAUUGAUGCGACCCAAAUCCAAAUCUCGACGAAGUCGAAAUGUGUUGACAACCACAGGUGCAUUGAUUGCGACGCGGUUCGAAACACGUUUUCACGUCGUCGCAAUUCUUUUAAAAUAAAUAAUGAUAAAAAGCGGUUUACGAAUAAAAGGCACAUAAGCUAGCAGGUAUUAAAAUCAGAUAAAAUCAAAUGCAACAGUUAAGCGACCGUGCUAGAACCACGGAACUCGGGAAUGCCUAACACCUUCUCCCGGGUUAACAAAAUUCCUUACUCGAAUUUUUGGUUCGCAGACUGUAACAGAGUCAUGUUUUUCCUCGAUUUGUGAUUCAACCGGUGACUUGAGACACCAUUAAUCUCCCAAGUGGCGACUCUGAAAUCUCAAUAAUAAAUCCCGUUCCGAUUGUCCUUUAAAUGGAAAAACUCCUUUACGCCCUCCUCCGGGAAUGUAGUAAAAAAGGAGGUGUGACAGUCUUCUUUAGAUUUGAGAUAGAAUCCAUUUUUUUUACUGAAUGUAUUUUUUACAUCUUUUCCAAUUGAUCAUUUGCUGGCGUCUAAUAAUGUGGUCUCUCUUAUAAGUUGGAAAUUCUAGUCAUACUUUAGAACGACAACAGAAUACAAAAUCAUGCAGUGAGAUAAACAUGAGAGAGACGCGCGUGUCCAAGUUUGAUUUUCAUUGUUUUUACUUUUCUAGAAAAGUUUGUAAAUGCUUUCGUUAGAAUUAUUUUGUUAGUUUUUGCUUUUUUCUUUGUUUUUUUAAGUUAUGGAAUUUGUAAGUUGAUGUUGUAAUAGAAUAAAUUUUUUAGGAGUGGUUAAUCCUGUCUGAUAAUUUCUUCUUUAAUGGUACCCAAUUUCACUUGCGAAAUCACAAGUUAUUUUGUUGGAUUCUACUGUAUACUUAUAAUAUUAAAGAUGUUAAUAAUGUACGUUUUAUUAUAGUUAUUAAUUGGUGUCUCGGGUUGAGCCUGAGUGUAACGAUCCGACCGGUCGUUUUGGGCUUUUGCACUUCGCUUGUCAGUUUUCGGGCACGACUUGCCCCGUGUGAUAUACUAUGACUUAUGUGAAUCGUUGGUUUUGGUUUUUAGGGUAAUCGGAAUGAAUUUCGAAGAAACAGUUCUCAGUUUGAAGCUUGAAAUUUGAAAGGUUUGACCAAGUUUUGACUUGUUUGUAUAUAAUCUCGGAUUGGAAUUUUUAUGAUUUGGUUAGCUCCGUUAGAUGAUUUGGGACUUAGGAUCGUGAUCGAAAUGCAUUUUGGAGGUCCGUGGAAGGUUUAUGCUUGAAUUAGCGAAAUUAAGAUUUUGGCGUUUUCUAAUUGAUAGGUGAGAUUUUGGAAUAGGGGUCGGAAUGGAAUUCCGAAAGUUGCAGUAGUUCCAUUGUAUCAUUUGGGAUGUGUGCGCAAAAUUUUGGGUCAUUCGGACGUGGAUUGGUUGGAUUUUUGAUCAAAAGCGUAAUUUAGAAGUUCUUGGAGUUCUUAGGCUUGAAUCUGAUGCAAAUUUGGUGUUUUGAUGUUGUUUUGAGCGUUCCGAAGGUUGGAACAAGUUUGAAUGAUGUUAUGGGAUAUGUUGGAAUGUUUGGUUGAGGUCCCGAGGGCCUCGGGGGAGUUUCGGGUAAUUAAACGAAUCAAGUUCAUGUUUGAAAAGUUGCAGAUUUUUAGGUUUCAGUUGCAGGCAUUUUUGUUCAUUGCGAUCGCGUACGAGGGUUUGAGAUCGUGUAGGCUCAGUUGGGCAGGGUGAAAAAUUGUUCUAUGCAAUCGCAGAAGAAAGGUCGCGAUCGUAGUCAGUGGAGAGAUUGUGAUUUGCGAACGCGAGGGCCAGGAUGCGUUCGCGUAGAAGAAAUAAGGUGGCAGAAGAAUCAGGUGUUACCCUUCGCGUAGGGGCAGUCGCGAUCGCGUAGCUCAGAGGAAUCAAUGUAUCGUGUUCGCAUGUUGGUUAACGCGGUCGUGUAGAGGAAUAUAUCGAGGCAACAAGAUUGUUCUUCGCGAUCGCGAGGAUGUUUCCGCGAUCGCGAUUAAGGAAAAAUCUGGGCAGACAGAUUAUAUUUUUAAAAUCGAGGGUUUGAGUCCAAUAUCAUAAAAGCCAUUGGAGAGCUCAAGAGAAGGUACAAUUUGAUGGGAUUUUCAGUGGAGCAAUUGGGGUAAGUAUUCUUCACUUAUAUUUGAUUUAAUUCCAUGAUUUAGUCUUGAAUUUCAUCAUUUAAUUUGAGAAAUUAGAGUGAAAAUUGGGGAAAAAUGGAAGAAGAGUUUGAGAAUUCUUUUGGGGAUUUAAAUGGGCAAUUGAGGUUGGAUUUUAAUGAAUUUUAUAUGGGUAGACUCGUGAGUGAAUGAGGAUUUUAUUUAUGUAAUUUUUAUCGGACUCUGAGACGUGGGCCUGGGGCUGGGUUUGAGCAAUUUCAGAAUUUUUUUUAUGUAAAUUGGAUAUUUUCGAGUAGGCUUUGUUCCCUUAGCAUAUUUUAAUGGUUAUGUACUGAUUUUUGGCUAGAUUUGGAGCAUCCGGAGGUCGAUUCGUGCAGGCAAGGGCAUCGCAGGCUAGAGUUUGGACCGGAUCGAGGUAAGUAAUGAUUGUAAAUGCUGUCCUGAGGUUUGAAACCCUGGAUUUCACAUCGUUGUGCUACUUUGAGGUGACACACAAGCUAGAUGACGCGUGUGGAGUCGUGCACCGUUAGGGAUUGUGACUUUGUCCGUCCCGUACGACUGUUAAGUCGCGUAUUUGCUUUGAAAUCUUGUGAUAUUCCAUAUUUUAGAGAUUGAUAUUAUAUUUUGGGUUGUAUGCCAUGUUUGGGGCCUUGUGCCGACCUGUUGAGGCCUUUAGGGGCAUUUUCACUAUUUUUCCUCACUCUAUUUGUUUUGAAAGCAUAUCCUCAACCAUAUUUUACCUAUUUAUUGUCUAAAUCUUGUUUUAUCAAUUUACUUCUUAAAAUGUGUAAACUGUUUGGGCUGAGUUCCCUAUUUUACUGAUGGUCCGAGUGAUUGUGAGGUUGAUGACUGAGAUAGACCGAGGUUCUGAUUGUGAGGUUGAUGACUGAGAUAGAUCGAGGGUUUGAUUGUGAGGUUAAUGCCUGAGAGGGGUCGACGGCCUGGUUGUGAGGAUUAUAUAUUAAUGGAUCGGGCUGGUGCAGCCCCAUAUAUAUAUAUAUAUAUAUAUAUGGGCUGCACGCAACAACAAUAUAUGGAUCGGGCUGCACGCUACAACGAUAUGAUGGAUCGGGCUGCACGCCGCAACGAUAUAACGCUUGGGCUGUAGGAGCCCCUCCGGAGUCUGCACACCCCCAAUGAGCGCAGUCGACUAUAUAUAUGGAUCGGGCUGCACGCCGCAACGAUAUAUUUAUCGGACUGCACGCCGCAGCGGUUACUAUAUGGUACCUAUUGAGUGUGAGUGCUGAAUGUGAGCGCUAAUUGGUAAGAGUUGAGUCACGAGUGACUGGGAGGCUUGCCCGAGGGGCUAGGUAUAUACAUGUACAUGAGUGAUGUUUGCCUGAGGGGCCAGUUUAUGAACUUACUGUGUUUCACUCCUCUUUAAAGUGAGUUUCUAUUGAACAUGUUGAUUUAAUUACUACUUUUACUCAUCUUUAGACCUAACCUCUAUUGAAAAUGUUGAACAAAUGUUUUAAAUGACUUUCAUUUAAACUGAUAUUUUAAGUUAUGAAAUGGUUGUGAAUUUCUGUUAUGCAUAGGGGUUGUAUACGAACUAUGCUUUGCCCGAGGGGCAGAUCAUGAUUUUCAUUAAUAUAUAUAUAUANNNNNNNNNNNNNNNNNNNNNNNNNNNNNNNNNNNNNNNNNNNNNNNNNNNNNNNNNNNNNNNNNNNNNNNNNNNNNNNNNNNNNNNNNNNNNNNNNNNNNNNNNNNNNNNNNNNNNNNNNNNNNNNNNNNNNNNNNNNNNNNNNNNNCCCUCUGUGGUGCCAUGAUGUGGUAUACGUGAUUUCUUACUGCUCAGACUUUGUUUACUUUUAUUAUUUACUGGGUUGGAGUACUCACAUUACUCCUUGCACGUUGUAUGCAGAUUCAGGUAUUUCUGAGCUUGGCGGCAGUUUCAUCGGAGAUAGCAAGGUAGCUGCCUGGCGAUCACGGCUCUGCUUUCUCCCUCUUUAUUCUUCCUUAUGUAUUCUUGUGACUUUUCCUGACCCUAUUGGUCUUGAUGUGGUUAAACAACUGUAGUAGAUGCUUAUGACUAGUGACACCCCGAUGUAGGGCUUGUAUGUUAUUUCCGCACUGUUCAUUUAGACUUAUAUUAUGAAACAUUUGUUUAAUUAAAGGCUUAAAAAUGACUCUUAGUGAUUAAAGGGUUAAUAUGGGUGUUGUUUCGGCUAGCAUUGUCUUCACGAGAGGCGCCAUCAUGACCAGGCCAAUUUGGGGUCGUGACAAGUUGGUAUUAGAGCCUAGGUUACAUAGGUCUCACGAGUCAUGAGCAGGUUUAAUAGAGUCUCGCAGAUCGGUACGGAGACAUCUGUACUUAUCCUUGGGAGGCUGCAGAACCUUUAGGAAAAACUUCACAUUCUUGAAUUCUUAUCGUGCAUCCUUGAUUCAGCUUGGAGUGUAACCCUUUGAUUUCCUUCCACGCAUUCAUAUGCGCGCAUGAGCGCUCAGUAUCAGAUGUGCGUCGAUGGCUUGUGAUUCCCCGAUCGAGGGGCGAGAUGUGAUUUGUCUGUGCGUUGAUGUUGGGGCCAGUCCGGAGGACUUGAGGCUAGGUUUUGCCUGCAGCUUGAGCACCAAGGUGCUGCUUGUGUGAGCAAGUGUUUUUGAACUUAUACGUUCGGUAGUGCCCCUAUUAGUAGAAGUGAUGGCUGCAUGUCUAUGUGAUGAGUAUGUUAUGACUGCGAGAUGUAUCUAUAUGAUUUGGAAGCAACAAGAAGGGUCUACUGGAGGAUAGAAGAACUAUUAGGUGCUUGAUUUCCAUCUUGAUUUAAGGUAUAGUCCCGAGUUAUGGGUGUGUGCAGAAUCUUUUCAUGUUUUCUAGUUGGGGGAGUAAAGUGGAUUUCAUGUUGUGCUGUGAGUUCAGACUCAGGAAGAUUAAGUGACUGCGUAAUAUCUAUGACGGUGGAAGGGUACAAAGAGAUGUUAGUUGAGGCGACGCAGGUGGGUUAUCUCCUGCGGAUUGUUCUGAAGUUUGCAUAAUCCCUUAUGUCAUUUAUUGAAAGAUCUCUGUUACCAGGGAAAUAUAUGUGUUACAAUUCGAAUUUGGGUUGCUCAAGAGAGUAGGCUUUUCUGCUACGAGAGUGAAUACGAGAUUUGCAGAAGAUUUAAAGUACCAGAUGGUCUGUGUUUCACGAGUUUAUGAAGGAUUGAGUUUAAUCUCACUAUGGUAUUAUGGCAGCAAUAAAGUAUAUGUGUUAUGAGUUAUUGUGUGUGUUUUGGUUUAUGGCUUCGAGCCAAGUGGGGAGUCCGCUAUUAAUUAGUUGAUUGCACAGUUAUGUGCUAUGUUGGUUCUAGUUUGAGGCGUGCAGGUGAAUCAGUUAUGGCUUACGAAGAUUGAGACCGAGGAUGGCUCGAGUACAGGAAAAUGUUGACAAAGGUUAUGUCAUGAUUCAUAAGUGUAUGAGAAUCACAGAGUGUCUUGAGUGGUUAUUGGUGAAGGAUGCUCGGGGCAUGGGGCAGGAAGUUGCUUGGCUGCAUUAAGGUGAGGUUACAUUCUGCGGUGUCGGAGUGCUAAUGAGGCACAAGUGGCUCGGUUCAUUUGAUCAGACUAAUUGCAGUUUGAGUAGAGUGGAUGACUCUAGAAAAUGGUUCUAAUGUGUUUAAGAUUUUACCUGUAAUAAUUGGAGAUCUUCAAGUUGUACUUUUGGCUAGAAACCGAGGUUUGCAUUUGGAGGGUGUCAAGAUUUGUGGUAUUUUGAUAUCAAUUAGGGAAUUUUAUAUACAUCAGCAUUAGGAAGAUAAAUGUAAUAGAUUUAGAUUCGCAUGAAGUCUCUUCAGAGUAGAGUAUUUCGAAUAUUUUGCUUUGAGGAUAUUUAAGAGGGUAUUUAGCGGGUUAUGAGCCUUAGACGGUGUGGUUUUAUGCUUGGGUCUCGUGUGAUAAGUCUGGAUUGAGGAAUGGUGAUGUUGUAGCAAGAAUGAGUAUCAAGUUGAAGGUAAAUCAGAAUGAAACUCGGAUAGAUGAGAUAGCUUGGUAGUAGGCCGAGUCGGUUUGGUAAGGAUAUGAUUAGUUCUUUGGAUGCUUAUGAGGUAAUGAGUUUUUACAGGUGUUUCACGACAAUUCUCUUGGGUUUUAGUGACCUACGUAUCUCGGUUGAGUUAGAAGGAUUUAAUCCUGACGAUUUAGUUUUGUGCAAAUGGAAUUCGGAGAGUUCUAGAUGGUUUCCACCAUAGUUAGAGAGGUAUAUAUUUCCUAUUGGCGUGAGGAGCAUGGGAUGUAUAGUGAUUUUCUUCUAGAUGGGAUCAAUAGGAAGUUCUUGGCUAGUAGAGUACAUAGUUGCUUGUGGAUUGGAAGAGAUAUGAAGUUGUCGUGGUUAUCUUAGGAUGGUACAAUUUAUGCGGUAUGUUGUGUAGGAUUGAGAUUUGCAUGAGUAAGGUCACGAUUCAGAUUUGAAAUGAAGGUCACAAAUUCUUAGAUAGCAUGGGUAGCUUCAGGUGACUGGAUAAAUGAGAUCACUAAUUGGUGUGGCUUGAUGACAGUAUAACAUUUCAGAAAGGGCAAUAUGUUUGAUUUAUGGAUGCUUUAUCGGUAUUGCGGCACUAUCUUGUUUGAUCGACUGAUGAUAUUCGAGUUUGCUUGGUGGCUCAGAAGAAUUAUAGGUAUACCUCUCAUGGGAUGAUUGAGUAUUAGAGGUGUGUUGUAUAUUCGAGCGGCGAAAUUAGGAUCAGAUAUGGUAAUUCAUGUGCUUUAUGGACUUGGAGACUGAAAGUUCUCAUAAACAAGUUAGCUUGUAGUUGUGGACAGUAAAGAUGUGGGUAAGUUAGUCAGAUGAUAGUAUGUGCUAUGAUUCAGUCAUUGUGAACCUUCAGAGGGUUAUUUAUCUGUUGUGGGUGACUAAAGUUGAUGUGUGGUUCAUUGGUAGACCUAUAUGCAUGGGUGUUCUGCAUCGAGAUGGCUUUGUUGACUUCGAGCUGCUAUUGGUGAGGGAUGUGUUGAUUCGGUAGUUAUUGAGCUAUUAGUAAUCAGGGGAUCUAUGAGUUAUAUUUUCGUGUUGCAAAAUAUUAGGAUUUGUUGGUUAUAGGCACAUGUGGUGCGGUGUUAUUGGGGCCUCUCAGUGGAAUUCGAGCGGGAAGAGUACUAGGCAUUGCUCGGUGGAUGGCGUAUCGGUUAUGUCCUUUCGAGUUGUGUGAAGUUAUGUAAUUGCUUCGCUGUGGUUAUGAGGAUUGCUUUGGUUUUAGACAUCAUAUUGCGCACGAUUAUCGAUUUUGAGCGUAGUGACUUAAGGUUUUUCAUGUGGACUAGUGUUUGGAAGAGGUCGCGCAUUGGAGCGAAGCUAUGUGGAGGUAUGAUCCUGCAGGUUAGAUUUGUGUGUUCUGUUUCUACGAUGUGUGACGGGUUCUCAGCCUGGUGUUGUGGCGGUACUGGUGGGCUUGCGGUACAACUCUUUCAUUUGAGUCAUUUUCAUGAUUUGAGUAUGUUCGGAUUGUUGCCUAUCGGUGUGCAGAUUGUACGAGUUGUGGCUUUAGAUGGUAUUAAUGUGUCAGGCCACCAGAGUAGUUGUGUUGAAUUAGAUAUGAUCGUCGGGAUGUAGAAUGAAUACAAACGGAUUCGAUUUCAGUAUGUUGGAAGGAUAAUAUCAAGGUUAGGCUCAGAAAUUUGCUAUGGUCUUCGCCAAAGGAGAAGUGGCUUCAUGAAUGGUAGAUCUGAGAAUUGGUUAUGACUUACUGCGUAUUUCGUUUAUCAUUGGCAGUAUAUGAAGGUGUUAGAAUGAGACUUUAGUUGAUAAGAGGUUUUCUAUUGAUAUUCGGUUGUUGUGUGCAGCUGCCGUGAUUAGAAGUUAUCACUACAAGUGUUUGAGUUAUGUGGUAUAUCAUAUAAUUGCACCUAAGAUUGUGGGUAUGGGUUGUUACAGCUUGUUCGGGCUUAUUCAGAGUAUAGAUGUGAGAUUUCGAUCUUGUGGAUGAUUUUAGAAGUGGAAAUGUAGUUCUAAGGUUCAUGGGCUAGGUUGGAUUGUGAGAUUUCAGUUACAUUGUGUAACGGACCUAUAUGAGAUAAGGUGACAUGGGAUUACCCCCGGGUAUGUGCAUGGUAAGGUUAUUCAGUGAUGGGUUGGUUCUUGAAACAACUCUGGGCACGUUCGAGGACGAACGUAUGUUUAAAUGGGGAAGGACGUAACGACCUGACCGGUCGUUUUGAGCUUUUGCACUUUGCUCGCCAGCUCUCGGGCAUGACUUGCCCCGUGUGAUAUACUAUGACUUAUGUGAAUCGUUGGUUUUGAUUUCCAGGGUAAUCAGAAUGAAUUUGGAAGAAAUAGUUCUCAGUUUGAAGCUUGAAAUUUGAAAGGUUUGACCAAGUUUUGAGUUGUUUGUAUAUGAUUCGGAUUGGAAUUUUUAUGAUUUGAUUAGCUCCGUUAGAUGAUUUGGGAAUUAGGAGAGUGAUCAGAAUGCAUUUUGGAGGUCCGUGGAAGGUUUAGGCUUGAAUUGGCGAAAUUAAGAUUUGGCGUUUUCCGAUUGAUAGGUAAGAUUUUGAAAUAAGGGUCGGAAUAGAAUUCUGGAAGUUACAGUAGUUCCGUUGUAUCAUUUGGGAUGUGUUUGCAAAAUUUCAGGUCAUUCGGACAUGGUUUGGUUGGUUUUUUUUAUCAAAAGCGUAAUUUGGAAGUUCUUGGAGUUCUUAGGCUUGUAUCCGAUGCAUAUUUGGUGUUUUGAUAUUGUUUUGAGCAUUCCGAAGGUUGGAACAAGUUUGAAUGAUGUUAUGGGAUUUGUUGGAAUGUUUGGUUGAGGUCCCGAGGGCCUCGGGAGAGUUUCGGCUGGUUAAACGAAUCAAGUUCAUGUUUGAAAAGUUGCAGAUUUUCUGGUUUCAGUUGCAGGCAUUUUUGUUUAUUGCGAUCACGUAUGAGGGUUCGCGGUCGCAUAGGCUCAGUUGGGCAGGGUGAAGAAUUGUUCUAUGCAAACGCAGAAGAAAGGUCGCGAUCGCGGCCAGUGGAGAGAUUGUGAUUUGCGAACGCGAGGGCCAGGACGCGUUCUCGUAGAAGAAAAUAAGGUGGCAGAAGAAUCAAGUGUUACCCUUUGCGUUCGCGUAGGGGCAGUCACGAUCGCUUAGCUCAAAGGAAUCAAUGUAUCGUGGUCGUAUGUUGGUUAACGCGGUCGCGUAGAGUAAUAUAUUGAGGCAGCAAAAUUGUUCUUCGCAAUCGCGAGGAUGUUUUCGGGAUCGCGAUUAAAGAAAAAUUUGGGCAGACAAAUUAUAUUUUUAAAAUCGAGGGUUUGUGUCCAAUAUCAUAAAAGCCAUUGGAGAGCUCAGGAGAAGGUGCAAUUUGAUGGGAUUUUUAGUGGAGCAAUUGGAGUAAGUAUUCUUCACUCAUAUUUGAUUUAAUUCCAUGAUUUAGUCUUGAAUUUCAUCAUUUAAUUUGAGAAAUUAGAGUGGAACUUGGGAAAAUAUGGAAGAAGAGUUCGAGAAUUCUUUUGGGGAUUUGAAUGGGCAAUUGAGGUCGGAUUUUAAUGAAUUUGAUAUGGGUAGACUCGUGAGUUAACGAGAAUUUUAUUGAUGUGAUUUUUAUCGGAUUCCGAGACGUGAGCCCGAGAGCCGGGUUUGAGCAAUUUCAGGAUUUUUAAUGUAAAUUAGAUAUUUUCGAGUGGGUCCCUUAGCAUAUUUUAAUAGUUAUGUACUGAUUGUGGCUAGAUUUAGAGCAUUCGGAGGUCGAUUUGUGCCAGAAAGGGCAUCGUGGGCUAGAGUUUGGACCGGAUCGAGGUAAGUAAUGAUUGUAAAUACUGUCCUGAGGGUUUGAAACCCUGGAUUUCACAUCGUUGUACUACUUUGAGGUGACGCACACGCUAGAUGACGAGCGUGGAGUUGUGCACCGUUAGGGAUUGUGACUUGGUCCGUCCCGUACGACUAUUAAGUCGCGUAUUUGAUUUGAAAUCUUGUGAUAUUCCAUAUUUUAGAGAUUAAUAUUAUAUUUUGGGUUGUAUGCCAUGUUUGGGGCCUUGUGCCGAUCUGUUGAGAACUUUAGGGGCAUUUUCACUAUUUUUCCUCACUCUAUUUGUUUUGAAAGCAUAUCCGCAGUCAUGUUUUACCUGUUUAUUGUCUAGAUCUGGUUUUAUCACUUUAUUUCUUAAAAUGUGAAAACCGUUUGGGCUGCGUUCCCUGUUUUACUGAUGGUCCGAGUGAUUGUGAGGUUGAUGAUUGAGAUAGACCGAGGGUCUGAUUGUGAGGUUGAUGACUGAGAUAGACCGAGAGUCUGAUUGUGAGGUUAAUGACUGAGAGGGGUUGAGGGCCUGGUUGUGAGGAUUAUAUAUUUAUGGAUCGGGCUGCACGCCACAACAAUAUAUAUAUAUAUGGAUCGGGCUAUACGCCGCAGCGGUUACUAUAUGGUACCUAUUAAGGGUGAGCGCUGAGUGUGAGCGCUGAUUGGUAAGAGUUGAGUCACGAGUGACUAGGAGGCUUGCCCAAGGGGCUAAGUAUAUACAUGUACAUGAGUGAUGCUUUACCUGAGGGGCCAGUUUAUGAACUUACUAUUUUUCGCUCCUCUUUAAAUUGAGUUUCUAUUGCACAUGUUGAUUUAAUUACUGCUUUCACUCAUCUUUAGACCGAGUCUCUAUUGAAAAUGUUGAACAAAUGUUUUAAAUGACUUUCAUUUAAACUGAAGUUUUAAGUUAUGAAAUGGUUGUGAAUUUCUGUUAUGCCGAGGGGCUGUAUACGAACUAUGCUUUGCCCGAGGGGCCGAUCAUGAUUUUCAUCACUUUCACUAUAUAUAUAUUUCAUUAAAACUCUAUGGGAAAGGUUAGAAAGAUAUUUUCCAAAGGAUUUUACUAAAGAUGGAAGUUUAACGAAGUGAUUUGAUUUGUAUCCUGUUUUUGGAAACAUGCGGUACCCUCUGUGGUUCCAUGAUGUGAUAUACGUGAUUUCUUACUGCUCAGACUUUAUUUACUUUUAUUACUUACUGGAUUGGAGUACUCUCAUUACUCCCUGCACCUUAUGUGCAGAUUCGGGUAUUUCUGAGCUUGGUGGCAGUUUCUUCGGAGUUAGCAAGAUAGCUGUCUGGCGAUUGCAGCUCUGCUUUCUCCCUCUUUAUUCUUCCUUAUGUAUUCUUGUGACUUUUCCCGACCAUAUUGGUCUUGAUGUGGUUAGACAUCUGUAGUAGAUGCUCAUGACUAGUGACACCCUGAUGUAGGACGUGUAUGUUAUUUUUGCAUUGUUCAUUUAGACUUAUAUUAUGAAAUAUUUGUUUAAUUAAAGGCUUAAAAAUGACUCUUAAUGAUUAAAGGGUUAAUAUGGGUGUUGUGUCGGUUAGCCUCGUCUUCACGAGAGGCGCCAUCACGACCAGGCCGGUUUGGGGUCGUGACAUUGAAUAUGAAGUUCGGGAGUAAAUCUGCAUAAUCUUGAAGAGGUUAAUAAUGUGCAUUUUUUAGUUUUUAAUUAGUGUUUGUUCUUGCAUUGUGGCCCUAUUAAAUUGCAUUUGCGCUAUUAAUUGCAGCGAGAGAAAGUUAAAUAUAUAGUUUUAUAUUUCGUAUUUUAUAUUUCAUUGUAGGUAAGUAUAUGAUGGAUAAGAAUUGGGUACUUAUUAACAGUAGGACAUUACCGGAAUACUUGAAUGAUGUGGAAUAUUUUUUGAACUUUGUAUUUUCUAAUCCUGAGGUUGGUGUAAGAAUCCAGUGUCCGUGCAUUAAAUGUAAUAAUGUGCUUAGAAAAUCAUGCGAUGAGGCUUAGGUGGGGAAUAGAUCCAACCUAUAAUAGGUGAAUUUAUCAUUGCGAGGCAGAUUUAUCUUCAGAUGAUGAAUAAAUUCUGAUACAGAUUCAAAUUUAGGGAAUGAUGAUGCUCACACUUUUGAAAUGUUGCAUGACAUGUAUCAUGGUAUUCCCUCUAAUAGUCAUGAGUUUGAUGAGACCACUGAGUCUAGGUAUGAAGAGCCAAAUAUAGAAGCUAAAAGUUUUUAUAGGUUACUAAAGGAUGCAGAGCAAAAGUUGUAUCCAGAUUGUGAAAAGUUCUCCAAACUCUCAUUUGUAAUGCGUCUUUUUCAGAUGAAGUGCCUACAUGGCUGGAGUAAUACUUCUUUUGACUCUUUAUUGAAAUUAUUGAGUGAAGCUUUUCCCAAAGAAAAUGUGCUCCCUAAUUCUAUCUAUGAAGUUCAAAAGAUCAUAAAAGAUUUGGGUCUAGAUUAUGUGAAGAUAGAUGCAUGUGUUAAUAAUUAUAUUUUAUAUAGAAAGGAAUAUGCUGAUCUUGAGCAAUGCCCUAAAUGUAAUGAAAAAAGAUGGAUAGUAAGGAAGAGAGGAGAUAUUGAUGAUGAAGUUGCUUCAAGAAAAUUGAAUAAGAGAAAUAAAAGAAUUCCUAGAAAGAUUCUUAGAUACUUUCCUUUGAUGCCAAGAUUAAAACGAUUAUUUAUGACAAAACAAAUUGGAGAAAAUAUGCGAUGGAAUAAAAAUAAGAGAGUUGGUGAUGGAGUAUUACGGCAUCCAGCUGACUCAUUGGCAUGGAAAACGUUUGAUGAAAAGCAUUCAAGUUUUGCUUUAGGUCCACGUAAUGUAAGACUUGGACUUGCUUCAGAUGGUUUUAAUCCUUUUGGUUCGAUGAGUAAUGCCUAUAGCAUGUGGCCAGUAGUUUUAAUUCUAUAUAAUCUCCCCCCGUGGCUAUGCAUAAAACAAUCUAAUAUUUUAUUAUCCUUGCUUAUUCCUGGACCAAAAAGUCCUGGUAUGAAUAUUGACGUGUACCUCCAACCCUUGAUUAAUGAUUUAAAAACCUUACGGGAGAGUGGAAUUAAGACUCAUGAUGCUUUUAAGAAACAAAAUUUCUACUUGCAUGCUGCUUUGUUGUGGACGAUUAAUGACUUUCCAGCUUAUGGUAUAUUAUCCGGUUGGAACACUAAAGGUAAAUUAGCUUGUCCAGUUUUUCAUGUACAUACUUGUUCUAUUUACUUGAACCAUGGUAGAAAAUAUUGCUAUAUGGGUAAUCGUAGGUUCCUGGAUAUAAAUCAUCCUUAUCGCCGUAAUAAAAGUUCUUUUGCUAAUACAAAGAAAGAAAGACUUGCACCACAAGCUUUGAGUGGAGAUGAUAUUCUUGCACAACUUAAUACAUCUUCACAAGGGUUUGUUGGUGGUAGCACAAAAAAAAAAGAUGCCGAAAGAUGUGACAAUUGGAAGAACAACAGUAUAUUUUUUGAACUCCCAUAUUGGAGGACUUUGUUGUUGAGACAUAAUUUGGAUGUAAUGCAUAUUGAAAAGAACAUUAAUGAAAGUGUGAUAGGAACUUUGUUGGACAUUGAAGGGAAAACAAAGGAUACAUUGAAAUCUCGAUUGGACAUACAAGAGAUGAAAAUCAUAAAGCCCCUUCAUCCAAUAAAAAGUGGGGAUAAGUACAUACUUUCUCCGGCAAGCUAUACAAUGUCUAAGGCUGAGAAGAUUUAAUUUUGUCAACUCGUCAAAGAAGUCAAGUUUCCUGAUGCUUAUGCUUCUAACAUUGGUCGUUGUAUCAAUGUUAAUGAAGCUAGAAUAUUUGGACUUAAAAGUCAUGAUCACCAUAUCCUUUUUCAACGUAUUGUUCCACUUGUCAUCAAAGGAAUUUUGCCAAAGGAUGCAUAUGAUCCCUUAAUUGAAUAGUCAUUAUUCUUUAGUGAUUUGUGCGCCAAAGAACUUCAUGUGGAGAGGUUAGAGAAACUAAAUAAAAGUAUACGGAUGACAAUUUGUAAAUUAGAACGUGUGUUCCUGCCAAUGUUCUUUGAUGUUAUGAUUCAUUUGGCAAAUGAGGCAAUAGUGGGUAGUCCUAUUCAAUAUCAAUGGAUGUAUUACAUUGAAAGGUUAGAUUUUUACUUAUUUGAAUUGUUCUUUUAGAAGAAAUUUGUUAUAAAACUGAUUUAUCUUUACUUAAUAGAUAUCUGUGCAUGUUAAAAGGUUAUGUACGGGCAACCAAGCUCGUCCUAAAGGAUCAAUUGCUAAGGGCUGUCUUGCGGAGGAAUGCAUGAUAUUUUGUUCUAAAUAUUUGACUGAUAUGGAGACAAAGCAAAAUCGUGCGGAUAGAAAUUUUGAUUCUCCAAACAUAAAUCCCAAUGGCUUGUCCAUAUUUAAUUGUCAUGGAAAGUCAUUAGCAGAGGGUGAUUGGAAAAGUUUGAGUAAUCUUGAAAUCAACCAAGCUCAUUUUUAUAUCCUCCAAAAUUGUGAGAAAGUCAGACCUUGGAUUGAGUAAGAUAACUUUUUAUUUAAUUGCAUCCUUUUCUUCUUAUGAAUAUCUUUAAUGACUAUGAUGUAAUAUUCUUUAUUUUUUUCUAAUCCUCCAAUCCAUAGAGAACAUCUAGAUAUAUUAGCAAAGGAAAAUAAUAAAAAUGUAGCCAAGAGGCACAAGGAGGAAUUUCCUUUUUGGUUUGAAGAAAAGGCAAACUAUAUCAUUUGAUGCUAGUUUAUCUUCAUUUAGGAUAAUUUUUGAAUUUACUUUCAUAAAGAGUAUUAAAGUUUUUGACUUUGUACACAAAAUAUUAUAGGUGAUCCAGUUAAAAAAGAAUGGUGAUGGUCAAGUUACCAAUGAAUUGCUAGCUUUGGCAAGACUUCCGGAUAAUCGUGUUUAUUGCCAUAAAGGAUAUAUCUUAAAUGGUUUUAGGUUUCGAACAUUGGAAUCUGAGCUACAUUUGAAAACUCAAAAUAGUGGUGUAGUUGUAAAGAGUGGCGAGCAUAUAGAAAAUAUUGAUUAUUAGGAAAGAUAAGAGAGAUUUUAGAGAUCCAAUAUAUGGGUAAUUCAGUCAUAUUAUUCCAGUGUGACUGGUUUGAAGUCCCUCUCCAAGGUCAAAGUCUAAGCAGAGGCUACAAAAAGGAUGAAUAUGGAUUCAUACGUGUAGAUGUGACGCGACUCCACUACACAAAUGAUCCACUCAUUUUAGGGUCGCAGGCUCAAUCUGUAUAUUAUGUUAAACAUGGUCAAAGUGAGAAAUGACAUGUAGUGAUAAAGGUAAGACCACGAAAUUUGUAUGAUAUUCCCGAACAAGAAGAUGAAAUGGAGCCAUAUCAAUUAAUUGACUUAGUUGAAAGGGAAGAAGCAAGCUUUCAAGAAGAGUCGGACAAUGAUGUCAUAAACAAAGAGAAGAUAUUGAUGGAGUGAGUGUUGCAGCACAUUCUCUUAAUAAUAAAGAAGAAGUAGAUUUAGAAGUUGGGGAUGAAUCUGAUCAUGAAAAUGGGGAUGACUUCAGUUCUCUUGCAACAGAUACAGAAUAUGUUUCUGAGGAAGAAUAUAAUGAAAAUGAGGAUAGUGAUUGGUUAUGAUCUUCAAUUAGUCUUCAAGAGAACUUUGUUUAUUUCAAUCGCUUUUGCCACAUGACUUUUGUUUCUCCAUCACCUUACCGAAAUGGAUAAUUUAUAUUUUCUACUACUUCUUUUAUUUUUGUGAUUUUUGUGUUGUAACUUUAUUUGUUUCACAUUAUUUCUGGACAUAUCUUGCAUUUUUUCUUAUCAUUUUACUGCCUUCACUUUGACAUUUGACUAAUGUCCAAUAAUAUAAUUUUUUUGAAUAUGUUACAGCCUAUCAUGACAACAAAUAUGCAUGUUUCUAAUAAUAUUGAACUUGCUGCCGAUGUAGUUUCAAAUUCACAGCCGGUAAGUUAUUUCAUUUAUUAAAAUUCUAGCCCUUUAAAAUCCCUAGCUUGUAUAUGUUUAAUUUGCCAUAUACCUAAAUGUUUUCCUAUGUUGCUGAAGGAAAAAAGAGAAAGGGAAAGGAAAAGACAACAGGGCUUUCAGUUCAAAAGAAACAGAAAGACAUUGACAAUGGAAAGUUGAAGGUGAUUGUCACCACCCUAAAACUAACCCGAUGGUGAUGGCGCCUACCGUGAAUUUAGGCCAACCGACACCAAACCCCAAACAAACCAGAAAUUCAUAAUAAGUCGUUUUGAGCCAUUAAUUAACUAAAUCCCAUAAUAUAAGUUAAGAGAAACAGUGCGGAAAAUAUAUAACACAGCCCGACAUCGGGGUGUCACUAGUCAUGAGCAACUACAACUCGUCUAGGAAUAAGUAAAGACAAUAUAGUCUAAAAUCAAAUGCUAAUACAAAGCUGAAUAAGAUAGGAAAGAGAAGCAUUGGGCUGCGAAUGCCAAGCAGCUACCUAGUCAACUCCGGAGACCUGCUGGAUGACUGAUCAACACUCACUAUCGCGCCUCGAGACUCCUGGAUCUGCACACAAGGUGCAGGGAGUAAUGUGAGUAUGCCAACUCAGUAAGUAAUAAAAGUAAAAGCAAUUGAGCAGUACAAAAAUACGUAAACCACGUCAUAACGCUACAUCAAAAUAGUAUAAGUCCAGAACAAUACAGUAAAGCAAUAAAACUCGUAAAAAAACUCAGUUCAAUAAAAACCUUUUAAAAUAACUUUCAAUAGUUUCAAACGAGUGAUGAAAACAGCGAGUAAAAGGAUAGAAAUGUAGACAGCCCCUCGGGCAAAACAUGUACCAUAACCGCCCUUUGGGCAAAAUAUCAACAGAACCAGCCCCUCGGGCUACCUCACAAUCACUCGUAAUUAGCCCCUCGGUCAAUAGCAUGAAAUAACAACAGCCCCUCGGGCAAUAUCACAUCUCACACUGGGUACCUGCGCUCACUGGGGGUGUUCAGACUCCGGAGCCCAAGCGCUAUCCCAAACCAUCUCGUGGCAUAACAACUCAGGCCCUCGACCUCUCAUAUAUCACAAAUCAGUACAUAUGCUGCGGUGCAGCCUGAUCCCCUAAUGUCCUCACAAUACCGAUCCUCUGCCUCACUCAAUCAAAAUCUCUCAAGGUACUCGGGCAAUAGUAAAACAUGAUGCUCAGCCAAGAUAUCAUUUAAAAAUAUCAAAAUGAAGUAAAUAAGACUGAGUUAUGAAAACAUUAGAAUACAACAUGACUAAGUAGAACUAUGAAGUUAAAACAGUGAGGAAUAACAGUAAAAAGCCCCUAAGGGUCCAAAAUAGUUGGCACGAGGCCCAAAUAUGACAUUUAACUCAAAAUAUGGUAAUAAUUUCCAAAACACAAUGAUAUCAAACAGGUUUUAAUCAAACACACGACUUAACAGUCGUACAGGAUGGACCAAGGCACAAUCCCCAAUGGUACACGACCCCAUGCUCGUCAUCUAGCGUGUGCGUCACCUCAAAGUAGCACAACGAUGUAAAAUCCGGGGUUUCAUACCCUCAGGACAACAUUUACAAUCAUUACUUACCUCAAUCCGGUCCAAACUUUAGCCCACGAUGCCUUUGCCUCUCGACUCGGCCUCCGAAUGCUCCAAAUCUAACCAAAAACCAGAUUCAUACCAUCAAAAUAUGCUAAGAGAAGAAAGCCCACUCGAAAAUAAUCAAUUUACAUAAAAAAUCCAGAAAUUGGCCAAACCCGACCCCCCGGCCCACGUCUCGGAUUCCGGUAAAAAUCACAAAAUUAGAAUCCUUACACUCUCACGAGUUCAUACAUAUCAAAUACAUCAAAAUCCGACCACAAACGACCCCUCAAAUCCCUAAAUAAAAGUCUCCAAUUUCAAGUCCUAAUUCUCCAAUUUAAAGUUGUAAUUCUCCAAUUUAAGGCUUUAAAUCCCAUAAAUUUCAUGUCUAAUUAGGUAGAAAUUACCAUAGAACCGAGUAUUGAGUUCAAAAAUCUUACCUCCAAGUGUUUCCCUUUGAUUUCCUCUUCAAUCCUUCUCAAAAAGAUCCAAAAUCGCUCAACAAUGGUGGAAAUAGACCAAAAAUCGCAAAGGCCACUAUUUAAACAUUCUGCCCAGGCAAAAAUUCCUUCUUUGCGAACGCGGUCAAAGCCUAGAAUUCGUGAAGCACAAUAUUCCAUUGACCAAUUAAUCCUCUUACGCGAACACGACUUCCAUAUCGCAAACGCAAAGCUUCGGCUUACCAGGCCUUCGCGAACGCGACACACCAACGCGAAGAACAAACUACCAGGGCCCCCAGCUGCUCCAGCUCCCCUACGUGACGCAGGACCUACAUCGCGUUCGCGAUGCACACUCAGCCUCAACCUUUGCGAAUGCAGGACCAACAUCACCAAUGCGAAAGGAAACUGGCCUUCCUCACUUAACAUCUCUUCGUGAACGUGAGGGUCCUCUUGUGAACGCGAAGAGCAAAACUAUGCAACACAGAACUGAAGAAAAUGUGCAACUUCUAAAAAUAAGGAUUUGAUAUGUUAACCACCCGAAACUCACCCGAGGCCCUCGGGACCUCAACCUAACAUGUCAACAUAUCCCAUAACAUCAUUCAAACUUAGUCGAUCCUUCGAAUCACUCAAAACAACACUAAAACACCAAAUCAACCUCGAAUUCAAGCCUAAGAAUUCCAAGACUUCCAAAUUCCGCUUUCGAUCAAAAAGUCUACCAAACCUCGUCCGAAUGACCUGAAAUUUUGCACACAUCUCCCAAAUGACACAACAGACCUACUCCAAUUUCCGGAAUUCCAUUUCGACCCCGAUAUCCAAAUCUCCACUACCAACUAGAAAACAUCAAAAUUUCAAUUUCGCCAAUUCAAGCCUAAAUCUAUCCCGGACCUCCAAAACCCGUUCCGAUCACGCUCCUAAGUCCCAAAUCACCUCCCGAAGCUAUCCGAAUCAUCGAAAUUCACAUCUGAGACCUUUUUCGCAUAAGUCAACAUCCAGUUGACUUUUUCAACUUAAGCUUACUCAAAAGAGACUAAGUGUCUCAUUCCUUUCCAAAACCACUCCGAACCCGAACCAACCAACCCGAUAACACAUAAUACAGUUGAAAAAGACAUAAAGAAGAAGAAAUGGGGGAAACGGAGCGGUAACUCAUGAAAUGACCGACUGGGUCGUUACCUCCUCCCCCUCUUAAACAAAAGUUCAUCCUCUAAUGAGUCAAGAAACAUACCUGAAGCCUCAAAUAGGUGAGGAUAUCUACUCCGCAUCUCCCGCUCAGUCUCCCAGGUAGUCUCCUCCAUAGGCCGACCUCUCCACUACACUUUCACGAAAGCUAUAUCCAUUGAUCUCAACUUUCGAACAAGAUGCUCCAAAAUAGCCGCUAGCUCCACAUCAUAAAUCAAAUCACCAUUUAACUGAACCGUGCUAAAAUCCAAUACAUGAGACAGAUCACCAAUAUACUUCCGGAGCAUAGAAACAUGAAAUACCGGAUGCACACUCGACAAGCUGGGUGGCAAAGUAAGCUCAUAAGCCACCUCCCCAAUCCUCCAAAGCACCUCAAAAGGCCCAAUGAACCGAGGGCUCAAUUUUCCCUUCUUUCCAAAUUUCAUAACACCCUUCAUGGGUGAAACCUUCAAUAGAACCUUCUCCCGAACCAUGUAGUACACAUCAUGAACCCUCCUAUCGGAAUAACUCUUUUGUCUCAACUGCGCUGUACGAAGCCGCUCAUGGAUCACCUUCACCUUGUCUAAAGCAUCCUGCAUCAAGUCUGCACCCAAAAGCCUAGCCUCACCCGGCUCAAACCAACCAACUAGAGAUCUAUACCGUCUCCCAUAUAAAACUUCAUAUGGAGCCAUCUAAAUAUUCGACUGAUAAUAUUGUUAUAUGCAAACUCCACGAGCGGUAGAAACUGAUCCCAUGAACCACCGAAAUUAAUGACACAAGCACACAAGAUGUCCUCCAAUAUCUGAAUAGUGCGCUCGGACUGCCCGUUCGUCUAGGGGUAAAAGGUUGUGCUCAACUCGACCUGAGUACCCAACUCUCGCUGUACAGCUCUCCAAAACUGCAAAGUAAACUGAGUACCUCUAUCUAAAAUGAUGGAAACUAGGACACCAUGCAAAUGAACAAUCUCUUGGAUAUAGAUCUCUGCCAACCGCUCUGAAGAAUAGGUAGUACAAAUAGGAAUGAAGUGCGCUGACUUUGUCAGCCGAUCAACAAUCACCAAAAUAGCAUCAAACUUCUUCAAAGUUCUUGGGAGCCCAACUACAAAAUUCAUGGUGAUCCGCUCCCACUUCUACUCUGGAAUAUCCAUCUACUGAAGCAAGCCACCCAGUCUCUGAUGCUUAUAUUUCACUUGUUGACAAUUGAGAUACCGAGCUAUAAAUCCCACAAUGUCCUUCUUCAUUCUCCUCUACCAAUAAUGCUAUCUCAGAUCCAGAUACAUCUUCGCGGCACCCGGAUGGAUGGAAUACCGCGAGCUAUGGGCCUCCUCCAGAAUCAACUCCCGAAGCUCGUCGACAUUGGGCACACAUAUCUGGCCCUGCAUCCUCAAUACUCCAUCAUCACCAAUAGUCACAUCUCUGGCAUUGUCGUGCUGAACUCUGUCCUUAAGGACAAACAAAUGAGGAUCAUCAUACUGGCGCUCUCUGAUGUGAUCAAACAAGGAAGACCGAGAAACUAUACAAGCUAAGACCUGACUGGGCUACGAAAUAUCCAACCUUAUAAACCGAUUGGCCAAGGCCUGAACAUCAACUAUGAGAGGUCUCUCCCCAACAGGAAUAAAUGCAAGACUGUCCAUACUCACCGCCUUCCUACUCAUAGCAUCGACCACUACAUUGGCCUUUUCCGGAUGGUACAAGAUAGUAAUAUCAUAAUCCUUUAGCAGCUCCAACCAUCUCUGCUGCCUCAAAUUGAGAUCUUUCUGUUUGAACAAGUGUUGGAGGCUACGAUGAUCAUUAAACACAUCAGAAGACACACCAUAGAGAUAAUGCCUCCAAAUCUUCAAUGCGUGAAUAAUGGCAGACAACUCUAGAUCGUGAAGAGGGUAGUUCUUCUCAUGGGGCUUCAACUGAUCAGUAAACACCUCACAAGAUACACCAUAGAGAUAAUGCCUCCAAAUCUUCAACGCGUGAAUAAUGGCAGCCAACUCUAGAUUGUGAAGAGGGUAGUUCUUCUCAUGGGGCUUCAACUGACGAUAAGCAUAAGUAAUCAAUUUACCUUCCUUUAUCAACAUACACCCAAUUCCAACUCUCGAAGCAUCACAAUACACUAUAUAUGAACCUGAAGCNNNNNNNNNNNNNNNNNNNNNNNNNNNNNNNNNNNNNNNNNNNNNNNNNNNNNNNNNNNNNNNNNNNNNNNNNNNNNNNNNNNNNNNNNNNNNNNNNNNNNNNNNNNNNNNNNNNNNNNNNNNNNNNNNNNNNNNNNNNNNNNNNNNNNNNNNNNNNNNNNNNNNNNNNNNNNNNNNNGCAAAUCUCUGUGGCUGAGGAUGACUUGGGCCAACUCUGAACCGCCUCUAUCUUCUUCGGAUCAACCUGAAUACCCUUACUAGACACCACGUGCCCCAAGAAAGCCACUGAACUGAGCCAAAACUUACAUUUGGAGAAUUUUGCAUAAAGCUUCUCCUCCCUCAAUCUCUGCAACACUAGAUGCUCUGCGUGCUCCUCCUGACUAUGCUAGUAUACCGGAAUAUCAUCAAUGAAAACAAUCACAAAUGAGUCGAGAUAAGGCCGAAACAUGAUGUUCAUCAAAUGCAUGAACGCUAUUGGGGCAUUGGUCAGCUUAAAAGACAUCACAAGGAACUCAUAAUGACCAUAGCACGUCCUGAAAGCUAUCGUAAGAAUAUCCGAGUCCCUGGUUGUCAAUUGGUGAUAACCUGAACGGAGAUCAAUCUUGGAGAACACUCUCGCUCCCUGAAGCUGGUCAAAUAAAUCAUCGAUACGAGGCAAAUGAUGUUCUUGAUUGUGACUUAGUUCAACCGCCUGUAAUCAAUGCAUAUCCUCAUCGUGCCAUCCUUUUUCUUCACAAAUACAAUAGGCCCACCCCAAGGCGACACACUAGGCCGAAUGAACCCCUUAUCAAGGAGUUCCUAAAGCUUCUCCUUUAACUCCUUCAACUCCGCUAGUGCCAUACGAUACGGUGGAAUAGAAAUGGGCUAAGCGCCCGACACCAAAUCAAUACCAAAAUCAAUAUCCCUGUCUGGUGGCAUGCCCGACAGGUCUGCAGGAAAAUCCCUCACUACAGGAACAGAAUCAAUACUAGGAGUCUCUGCACUGACAUACCUCACAAAGGCUAAGUGUCACACCUCCUUUUUUACACCCCGAGGGGAUGUAAGGGAGUUUUUCCAAUUAAAGUGACAUUAUUCGAAAUGAGAUUAUUUGAAUUAUCAGAGUCGCCACUUGGAAUAGAUUAUUUGGUGUCCUAAGUCACCAGUUUAGUUUAAAUCUCAAAUCGAAUAAGUUUUCGACUUUAUUUAAAAGUCUGCGAACCAGAAAUUUUAAGUAAGGAAUUCUGUUAACCUGGGAGAAGGUGUUAGGCAUUCCUGGAUUUCGUGGUUCUAGCACGGUCGCUUAGCAAUUUAUACUUGGCUUAAAAAUGUAUAAUUACUUAUUUUAGAACCUAUGUGUAUUUACCUAUUAACCGCUUUAAAUUAUCUGAUUUAUUCGUAAUUAAAGAAUUAAGUUACGCGUACGUAUACUCUUUUUCUUUGGCGCAUCAAAAAUCACGUCACACGAAUGUGUCCGCAAUUAAUAACGCUUUGUUUAUUUUAUUAAGAAAAGUUUGGUUGAAGGUGCGCGAACGCAUCCCUCGAGUCUUUUAGAGUUAAAAUUGCAAUUACAUUAUACGAACGUAUACAUAAUCGCAAUACCAAUUUAAAAUCGGGCCUAAAGCAAACUAUGAUUGUUCAAAUUAAUAAGAGGUUUGCGAGGGACAUAGAAAAUUAAAUAAUGGCACUCCUCGAUCUAAAAGAGUUAUUACUAAUUAUACGAGGGCCAUGGACUUAGGAAUUUUGUUUAUCAUGGCACACCUCAAAUUCACAAAUUUUAAUUAGGUUCAUGAGGGCCAUAUAUUAUAGGUUUUAAAACAUGGCACACCUCAAAUAAUUUUUCCUUUUUAGAAGAAAACUUAUUUAAUUAAGGUCACCUAGGAUGUUCCUAUUUAGGACUUAAUUUAACAAAGGCUAACUAAUCAUAAAAAGGUUUUAAAAUUAUCUUUUGGGGCAAGGGGAAUGGGCCAGAAGCAGCCAGCUACGAAUCAGCUUUAAGAGCUGAAACUUGGGCUCACGAAGGGCCCAGAAAUCAGAAGCCUAAAAUGCAAUCACGGUUUCUGAGACAAACAUCCCACGUUGGGCUUAAAUUCUAGGCGGGCCUAGUUGUGCAUUGGCACCGGCUGGGCCUAUCGACCUCUUUGCAUUUUUUUAAACCAUGGUAUACAUAAAUCAUGAGUUACAAAAGAGCUUCUUUUUCGGAUUAAAAGAUUCGAAUUUACAAUCACAAAAUUGAAGGCUAGUCACGAUAUAUCUUGUUUGCAAGCAUAAACUAUUCAUGGCUAGACUCAAAAUAUAUAACUACUUGUUCAUGAGAGCAUACAACAAGAAAUCAAAGGCACGGCUUAAUAGGGCCAAAUCCAACCCAAAGAACAUUUAUCAAGCUUGAGGAAAUGGGACAUGAGCUCAAAAGCCAUUUGGGCCUGAAAUUGGGCCCUAAAGGCAAAGAGUAAACUCAAACAAAGGGCAGCCCAAACGCGACUUUCAACAGGCUGCUUUGGCUUAAACCUUAACUAAGUCCAAACCAAACACUCAAAUCUCUAAAAUUACAGCAAGAAACAUCUUAAUUUAAUGAAGGUUGUUCACAAAAUUAUACCUUAAACUUACCAAGAACACACACAUAGGCGCAUUAAUUGCAGCCCAGCCUGUGAAACGUAAGUUCAGAUUCAGACACUUAGACAGUCCUAUUAUUACACAACUCUUAGUAUUGAAUAACAAACUUUACAUCAAUAACGAGCUUUGCAUUGCUGUUAAUUCAUGCCACUGUUUUCUUGAAAUAAGUAUGCUAAAUGAUAAACUAAUCUAAUUCUAAUCCAUUAACCAAAUAUCAGAAUAAACUAUUACAGACUUGUAUGCUAGUAGAACAUCCUUGCCCCUUUUUGAACAUGGUUUUGUCCAUAGCAGCCUCGUCUUCUUUUGUUAACAUGUAAAUCCCACCUUAAAUCUUCUAAGCCAAUUGAUCCAACCAACUGGUGGCUGAACUAACAGGUUAUAGCUCAUGACCAAAUAAAAAAAGAAAGAAGGUCUUUGAGUGAGGAAAUCUGAUGGAGGAAAAGAAAAAUAUUACUUAAAGAAGCAUGAACAACAUUCUCGACUGUGUGUUUUACUAUGAAUCAAGGCUGUUGGUAUUCAAUUUUAAUAUCAUUUUUUCAUACUAUUGCAAUGCAUACCAAACUACCAAAUAAGCAUGACAUAAAUAAACACACAUUGCUCAUGUUAACACACUUGCCAUUAUACUAUCCAAAGUCUAAGACUAAUCAAACAGUAUCCAAAGAACACUCAUUCAUUGCACAUCCAUUUGCAAAAUUUUGACAUUUUUUUAUAAACUCAUGUACAAGAAAACUACAUAGAGAUCUAAGUAGUACCUGGAACAGUGAGGGUUCAACAAAGAAAAUAUAGAAGAGCAAAUAUCUGAGAAUCCAAAAGAGAACAACAGAAUAACAACAGUAGAUACAGCACAACAAGCCCCAGAAAAUCAGAACUUCAGACCCCGAAAAUGUACAGCUGAAAACAGAGAGACCAGCUAAUGGACUUCAAAACUUGUGAGGACUUAGAGAAAAUUUUGAGUUUUCAAGCUGUUUUGAGUAUGAACUUUUCCGAGAAGAAGAUAAACCUUUUUCAGAAAAAUUGCUUAAGAAAAUAUCUAUUAGAAUCUGUCUUUUUCAAAAGGAUAGAGACUAUAUAUAGGCUGCCUAAGGGGGAUCAUCUUUUAGCAUAUUCCUUAUCCUAAGGAAUAAUAGUACAGUCCUUUUUUAACAGCCCUUGGUACAACUGUCCCAUUUUCAGCAUAUUUUUUAAACAGCUAGGACAGCUGUACACUUUCCUAAAAAUAUCUGAUUUUCAGCCCAAGCAAAAACCCUUUUUUGCCCUUUAGGUUAUUACUUAUUUCAGGUUUUACCUAAACUUUUCUAGUCCAAAUGAGCCCCUAAAUUUCUACUGAUUUUCACAUCAGGGCAAACAACUUGAAACAAAUCCAAAGAUGCAGCAAAUGUGAAUAGAAUAGUGGAAAUUUAGGAAAAAACUAUUGUUAAUUGAAUUUGAAUCAGCCUAUCUUUAUUAAAACUGUUCUUCUUAAUUAACUACAGCAAUCAUACGGAACACCUAAAAUCUAAACUAAUCCAGCAUAUUAUUCAAACACAAAAAUCUAAACUUAAAGCUGGAAAAAGAGAACAUUUAAUCAAGAUAGAAUCAAUACAAUUCUGGCAUAGAAAUUUGAACAGUUACUAAUUAAACAAUCAAUCUAAAACUAAAAUCAGAUGAACAUGUGUCCAGGAGAAGAAAUCAUAAAAGAACAGCUAUUAGCCUAAAAUAAUGCAGCUAUGAACAAUCAAUUCAACAGAAAUUUAAACAAACCUAAACUUAAACGAAUUAAGCAUGCUUUUAAUUAAAAUGGAUGUCAGAAAAUAACUAACUUCACAAGAGGGAAAACAACAGAAGAAAGAUAAACAUGCUGCUACAUAAAAGAAAAAUCAAACAUGCAUAGAAGGAACAAAACCAAAAUUUAAACAAUCAAAAAGAAAAAGAAAAGGAUUUACCCGAUAGAAAUCAAAACUGGAUCAAAACAUGAACAUUGUCCAAACUUCCUGAGAUGUGAUAUGGACUUUGACUACCAUUAAUCGACUGUUCUUAACAAGAACAGUCGACUAAUGGCAGUCAAAGUCCAUUCGACUAACCGUAGACCAGGAAAAGAAGAAGAGGAAUUUUAGGGUUCUUCUGAAUCGCCAGAUCUAAGAUUCGAGGCACUCAAGGCUGAUUUGAAAGGGGUUAACGGUGGUUUGGGGUUCAGAUAGGGGUAAGCAUCAUAGGGUGUAAAUUUGAAACGAUUUUGAAUGAUUCAAGUUUUGGCCGGAUCUUUGAUUUAAGAUUCGAACGAAACAGGUUUGAUUCGAAGGAAGGGAAGUGAAUAUUUGGAAUGGGGAGAUGCAGGGGAGUCUGUGGUAUCUUUUUAGGACUGAUUUGACCAUUGGAACCACAGUGAGGCGAUUUCUGGUGGGUGGUUUGUGGCGGAGGCGGUGAGGGAACGAAGGGCGGCUAGGGUUUCGUUGGUGGGGGUGAUAUACAGAGCAAAGUGAGAUGAAUUUCAGUCUUUGAGGGGGGGGGGGGGGGUUGAACUCAGUUAGGACAGUUAUAUUAUUUUGAAAUUUUAUAAAAUAAAUAAUUACUGAUUAAUUCUAAAAAAUAUAAAAAUAAAUCCUAAAUGCAAUGCAUGACAUUUUUAGUAUUUUUCAUGAUUUAAAUAAAUUAAACAUGCACAGAAAAAUACAAAUAAUUCAGAAAAUUCUACAUAAAAUCCUAAAAUGGCCAAUAAUUAACAAAAAUAUAUUUUUCUCGGGAUUUUAUAGGAGUAUUUUUGUAUAGGGCAAAAAUCACAUGCCCACAACUGCCCCUCUUUGCUUGAAAACACAAAGGAUUUUCGGGCAAAGAUAAAAUUAGCAACUAUGAGGGAUUUUUGCCCAUUUGAAACUCCAUGAGAAGUACUUUUGAAAAGAGUCUGACCGAACCUUGCUUCAGAGGUUGCCUACAUAUCCUUGGCUAUAAAAGAAUCAGGCCAGUGUAGUUAUGGAAGUUUUGGUAGCUGGUACUACCGGGAAGCUGUAAUUUCAGUGUUGAUGUUGCUGCUACUACUUGCUGAACUCCUUAUUACACUAAAAUGGAAGAUAAAAAGCUAAACUAGCUAAGCCUAUCAACUACAAGUUACAAGUUUGAUCUUGAGUCUUGGCUGGUUCUUCCUGCGGACUCUGAUCUGGAUCUUGAUGCUCGUUAGCUGCAACCGCUAGUUCAUUCUUCUUCAGCUUUCUGGAUCGAAGCGGGACAUGCAAAGCUUGCUACUUAAGUCUUACCUUAAGCAGUCUGUAUCUUUUCUCUGCUUCUGCACUUGAAAUCCCCUUCUUUUCUUGCUCUUUCUUUUCUUUUAUUUGGGCUGAGAUUUCUUCUUUUGGUCAUCUCAAACCUUGCACCUCAUGGUAGAAAUCCUGUUCAGGCACCAAAGCAAACAAACGAACGAGAUUUUCUGCCCCAGUUUUCACUAGAAAAAUUUCGUGAGUUAUUGUAACAAAAUCUCAGCUAUUUCUUUAUUGAAACUAAAAUCAGGAUUGUAUAUCCUUGGGAAAAGAGAUUAGGGAGUAGAGCCCUAUAUCUAUAAUGAAAUCAACUAGGGAUUGGGGCCCUAAAUUGGAAAGAUUGCCAGGUUAUGCUGGAAAAAUGGCUGGGUUAUGCUGUGAAAGAAAAAGGUCCUGGGGUUAUGCCGGGGAGGUCAUCGGUUUAUGCCGGAAAAAGGGAAAGGUCCUCAUAUUAUGCCGGGAAAGUCAUCGAGUUAUGCCGGAAAGAGUCCACGGGUUAUGCCGGGAAAGAAAAAGGUACUCGGGUUAUGCUGAGGAAGUCAUCGGGUUAUGCCGAAAAAGAAAAAGGUUCUCGAGUUAUGCCGGGAGGUCAUAGGGUUAUGCCGGGGAAGCCAUCGGGUUAUGCCAGAAAAGAAAAGGUCCUUGGGUUAUGCCGGGAGGUCAUCGGGUUAUGCCGAAAAAGAAAAAGGUUAUCGGGUUAUGCCGGGAAAGUCAUCGGGUUAUGCCGGAAAAGAAAGGGUCCUCGGGUCGGGUUAUGCCGAAAAAAGAAAAGGUCCUCGGGCUAUGCCGGGAGGUCAUCAGGUUAUGCCGGAAAAGAAAAAGUUUCUCGGGCUAUGCUGGGAAGUCAUCGGGUUAUGCCGGAAAAGGUCCACGGGUUAUGCCGGGAAAGAAAAAGGUACUCGGGUUAUGCCGGGGAAGUCAUCGGGUUAUGCCGGAAAAACAAAGGUCCUCGAGUUAUGUCGGGAAAAAAGGUCCUUGGGUUAUGCCGGGGAUCAACUAAGGAGUGGAUCCUUGUAAUGGAAAAGACUACCAGGUCAUGCUGGGAGCGACUAGGGAAUGGGACCCUAUAUUGGGAAGAUACAGCUAGAGUCUGGAAGCUCUAUGCUAGCAUGGUUUUGAAUUUUUUAUUCAAGAGAAUUCAUGGAGAGUUUUGAAAGGUACUUCCCUUUUUGGGUUAAUUUCUACUGCAGGACCGUUCUGGUCUCUGUGCGCCUUGCUUUUAUUGCACCUGCUCCUCACGAGGUUAUCUUGGAUUGCACCUGUUUUCAAAUCAAAGAACCAUUUGUCAGUUUGAAACAGUGGUUGGUUUUGUGGCCUUGAUUGUUUGAUCAUUUCAUCCCGACCCAACCCUUUCUCUGAAAUCUUUUACUGCUUGUUGGCUUUCUGGAGACUGAUUUUCUUCUAAAACCGAGUAAUUUGACUUCUACUAGAAUUGCACAUGAUGGUUCGCCCGUGUGGGCCUUUGGCCUUUUCAUCUUAUUUUGCCUUUAUGGGCACUUUGACUUUGGAUUUCUUUUAUUUUCGAUAAUUUAACUUCGGAGCAUCGGCCAUCACGGCCAGUCGGGAUCGACUCGAUGCACUCACUGAGGCUAGAUGCAUUUUUGUUUGGAUUUGGCUUUUGUUAAGCAGAACCCUGUAAAACCAAUCUUGCUGCCUUUUCUUUGUAUUAGUUUCGAAACAUAGUUAGACCAAAAGAGAUUCACAGAAAAGUAAACAAAGGUCAAGAAAGUGAAUUUAAAGAGAAGUGUCCUUUUCGGGGAGGAAAGAAGGACUUAUCUGGAGUGCAUGCAGACUUCAAUAGACAUGACAUGCCUUUUGGACUGGAUACCCGAUCUGCACAACUAUCUAACUUCUCAUAAACCCAUUAUGACCCGUGUUUUAAAUCGAGAAACCUCGCCAGGACUCUUUCAAUGCCAAUAGUGGCGAGGGAUUUAUUUUUUUCAUCAACGGCGCCCUUUGUAGGUUUUCGCCAAUCAACCUCUCUCAUUUCUCUUAUCACCGUCGCCUUUUAGUGCUCUUUACGAGUUUUUACUAACAAGACUCUCUCAUUUUUCAGUUUCUCUGCUCACCAUCGCCUUACGGUGCCUGUAGGUUUUCACCAAUAAGGCUCUCUCAUCUUAUUUCUCUCAUCUUGAUUGCAUUGGAUCCAAAGACUGUAUUCUGCGAUUUUGAACACCUUUCACCGAUUGAUCAGAAGGACUUGAACAAGGUUUGGGUAAAAAGAACUUGAAUCAAAUUACAACUUUGGAACCAAUCAGGCCGGAUUAUCGCUGAACCAUUAUAACAUCUGCCCCUGUUUCACUUUUGGGGGAAAUUGGACUUUUGUUUUGGUGUGACUGAACCCCAGAGAGAGGCUUCCUACGUAUCCUUUCGGAAUCAAGUCGAACAUAGUUCAGGGAAACAUGUUGUUUUUUCCUUUUUCUUUUGUUUUGAUGAAUUUUUUUUACCAAACGUUUUCAAGUUCCAAGGAGGGUAAUGAAAGACAGGUAACCGGCUCAAAGGGUUAGCAAAGGAUUGGAGUGUUUGGGGUAGUGAGAAUGAAAGCCUUCGUCAUCCCAAUCAAAUAAUGUUGUUGCUGCAGAAAGACUAGACAUAUUACCUUUUGACUGCGUCUGCAUUUACAGCUGUUUCGGGGUCAUUUCCUUCAAUGUCUCCCAGGUAUAACGCCCCUUUUGGCAACAAUUUCCUGAUAAUGUAUGGGCCUUUCCAGUUAGGAGCAAACUUUCCUUUCGCUUCCUGAUGAUGGGGGAGAAUACGCCUUAAAACGAGUUGCCCCAUUUUAAAGUUUCUAGGCCGCACUUUCUUGUUAUAGGCACGGCCAUUCUCUGUUGAUAGAACUGCCCGUGGCAGACUGCGACCAUUCGCUUUUCGUCGAUCAAGGUUAACUGUUCCAAAUGGGUUUUGACCCACUCACUGUAUUCAAUGUCAACUUCAACAAUGAUCUGAAGAGAAGGGAUUUCAACUUCUGCGGGUAUUAUAGCUUCAGUGCCAUAAACCAAAAGAUACGGGGUUGCUCCGACUGAUGUGCGGACAGUAGUGCGAUAUCCCAACAAUGCAAAUGGCAACUUUUCAUGCCAUUGCCUGAAACUUUAGAUCAUAUUUCUUAGAAUCUUCUUGAUGUUUUUGUUUGCUGCUUCGACAGCGCCAUUGGCUUUGGGCCGAUAAGGAGUAGAAUUUUGAUGCGUGAUCUUAAACUGCUCACAUAUCUCUCUCAUCAAGUGACUAUUCAAGUUUGCAGCAUUAUCUGUAAUGAUAGUUGCAGGAAUACCGAAACGACAGAUGAGACUGGAGUGCACGAAGUCUACCACAACUUUCUUGGUGACAGAUUUGAGAGUAAUCGCCUCAACCUACUUCGUGAAAUAGUCGAUGGCGACCAAUAUGAAUCUAUGCCCAUUUGAAGCUUUUGGCUCGAUCGGCCCAAUGACGUCCAUACCCCAGGCAACAAAUGGCCAAGGUGCUGACAUGGGAUGCAGUUCUGUAGGCGGUGCAUGAAUCAAGUCACCGUGCACCUCUGACACUGAUGACAUUUUCGGACGAAACUGAAGCAAUCUUUUUCCAUAGUCAUCCAAUAGUAGCCUGCUCGAAGGAUCUUCUUUGCCAAAACAUACCCAUUCAUGUGGGGUCCGCACACUCCUACAUGCACUUCAUACAUGAUUCUUUCGGCCUCUUCGGCGUCAACACAUCUUAACAAAUUUAGAUCCGGAGUCUUUUUGUACAAGACCUCACCACUCAAGAAGAAACCACUUGCAAGCCAUCUAAUGGUUCUCUUUUGGUCUCCAUUGGCUUGCUCGGGAUAUUCUUUCAUUUUCAGAAAUCUCUUGAUAUCAUGAUACCAUGCCUGAACAUUUGGCUCCACCUCGACCGUAUUGCAGUAACCAUGCCUUUCCCGGAUUUGGAUUUCCAACGGGUCGAUGUGGAGAUUGCCUGGAUAAGGCAACAUCGAGGCCAAAGUAGCAAGUGCAUCGACCAACUCAUUGUGAAAACGAGGAAUGUACCUGAACUCGACUGACUUGAACCAUUUACUAAGAUCUUCCACAUGUUGCCGCUAUAGAAUAAGCUUGACAUCCCGAGUUUCCCAUUCACCCUGAGCUUGUUGGAUAAUCAAAUCCAAAUCUCCCAUGAUCAACAGCUCCUCGACAUCUUGGUCAAUCGCCAUAUUCAUACCCAUAAUGUAGGCUUCAUACUCGACAGUGUUGUUUGUGCAGAAAAACUGAAGCCGGGUUGUGGCUGGAUAGUGCUGACUCGUGCGUGAGAUCAAGAUUGCCCCAAUUCCGACACCUUUUGCGUUCACAGUGCCAUCGAAGAACAUUUUCCAUGCAUUGGUGUCUUCUGAUGUUACCUCAACUGAAUUUACCUCUUCAUCCGGAAAGUAGGUAUUCAAGGGCUGGUAUUCAUCAUCAACAGGGUUUUCAGCUAGGUGGUAUGCUAAAGCCUUGGCUUUCAUUGCCGUGAGGGUGACAUAGACUAUGUCAAAUUCGAUGAGCAGGAUCUGCCAUUUUGCUAACCUCCCUGUGGGCAUUGGCUUCUGGAAUAUGUACUUUAAAGGAUCCAACCUAGUGAUGAGAUAAGUGGUAUAGGCCAGCAGGUAAUGCCUAAGCUUCUGAGCGACCCAAGUUAGGGCGCAACAAGUCCUUUCCAACAGGGUAUAUUUGGCUUCAUAACUUGUGAAAUUUUUGCUUAAAUAGUAGAUUGCCUGCUCCCUUCUCCCGGUCACGUCAUGUUGCCCGAGGAUACAUUCGAAAGAAUUUUCCAAGACUGUCAAAUAUAGAAACAAAGGCCUCCCAGGUUCAAGUGGGACCAAAACUGGAGGGUUCGACAGAUAUUCUUUGAUUUUGUCAAAGGCUUCUUGACACUCAUCUGUCCAUUUAAUCGCCGCAUCCUUCUUUAACAGCUUAAAUAUGGGCUAAUAGGUAGAAGUCAACUGAGCAAUGAACCGGCUGAUGUAAUCCAACCUUCCCAAUAGGCUCAUGACCUCUUUCUUGGUUCUUGGAGGAGGUAAAUCUCAAAUAGACUUUAUCUUGGUUGGAUCUAGCUCGAUGCCCCUCCGACUGACUAUAAAUCCCAAGAGUUUGCCAGAUGGAACCCUAAAUGCACAUUAGCUGGAUUCAACUUCAAAUCAUACUUACGCAGCCGCUUGAAGAACUUUCUCAGAUCCCGAACAUGGUCAUCCUGUGUUCUAGAUUUGAUGAUCACAUCGUCCACAUACACCUCGAUUCUUGGUGCAUCAUGUCGUGAAAGAUGGCAGUCAUGGCCCUCAUAUAAAUUGCACCAGCAUACUUCAAACUAAAAGGCAUGACCCUGUAACAGUAGGUGCCCCAGGGUGUAGUGAAAGCUGUCUUUUCCGCAUCCUCUUCAUCCGUCAACACCUGAUGAUAUCCUGCAUAACAAUCCAUGAAAUAUUGUAUCUCAUGUUUGGCACAGUUAUCAACAAGGAUGCGGAUGUUUGGAAAAGGGAAAUUGUCCUUGGGACUUGCUUUGUUCAGGUCCCUGUAGUCAACACACACUCGGGUCUUCCCGUCUUUCUUUGGUACGGAAACUACAUUGGCCAGCCAUAUGGUGUAUCGGACCACUCGGAUCACUCCCACCUUCAACUGUUUUGUGAUCUCUUCUUUGAUCUUGUCACUGAUAUCAAUUUUAAACUUCCUCUACUUUUGUUUGAUAGGGGGACAAUCAGGGUAAGUUGGCAGCUUAUGGACCACCAAAUCGACACUUAGUCCUGGCAUGUUGGUAAGACCAAGCAAACACAUCUUUAAAUUCGAACAAAAGUUGGAUCAAUGCAUCCCUGGUUCUUUCAUCUGUGUGAAUGCUUAUCAUGGUUUCUUGGACCUCUUUAGAACUACUCAAAUUAACCGGCUCGGUUUCAUUUAAGUUCGGCUUAGGUUUAUUUUCAAAUUGUUCCAAUUCUCGGUUUACUUCCCUAAAAGCCUCUUCAUCAUUGUAUUCCGGUUCUUAGUUCAUUAUUUCACAAUUAGACAGUAUGUUUGGAUCUGGGCAUGAAGUCCGCAAGUAUGUCAUGUUAUUUAAAGCUGCAUUAUUAGAACUGAAAGAAGAAAAAAGUAACAAAAAUCAGAAAGAAUAAAGAGAGAUGAACAAUGAAAUAUUGAUUUCAUUUCAUUGAAUUUUGAAGAUAACAGGGUUUACAUUGGAAAUUAAAGACAAUAAACUAAAAAAAACAUCCGAGUUACACCCUGAAAUAACUCAUGAUGCAGAAAAGGUGGCAAAACUGGACUACCGGGAUUCCCGCCUGACUGGGAACGGAGUAGCCUUCCAAUUUUGCAACUUGGCAUCGGGCCCUAUAUACAGCACCUCAGCGGUGCUCGAGCCUUCUCCCGGUUGGACCAUAUGGGUUUCAUACAACAUCUGCCUUAUAGCUCCACAUAUUUCUUCUAUUUUCUCGGCCGUGAAUGCCUCAUCUUCUUCUUCUUCAUUGUACUUGGCCCUGACGAAGGUUUCGAACAGAUGCGGGAUCGGCUAAGACAAGACCCAACCAUUGUUCUUUCGCUCAUUUGCCCAUGUUUCAUCAGCUGGUGUGGCUUGGAAACCCAUACCAAAGAACUUCUCGCUAGCAGCCAGAGUGAUAGGGACCAUGAUUCCUUGCAAUGACGUCCCGAGCCCCUUCCCGGGUUUAUAACCAUGCCUGAUCAUUUCCUUGGCAACCAUAAUUAACGCAUUUGAAAGACAUGAGGACAAGGGUUUUCUUCUUCACAUUGGUCUGCGACCACAACCUCGAAAGCUUGAUAGACUAUGAGUUCACUUCCUUCCCUAGCUUCGAGACAUGGGACUGGCGGGUCCCGAUAAAUCGAUUACUCAUCUUCUCCGUGAACUACAAUCUCCUGAUCUUCAUAUUCAAAUUUUACCAUCUGGUGGAGAGUAGAAGGUACAACCCCUGCUGCGUGAAUCCAAGGUCUUCCCUAGAGGAAAUUAUAGGAAGUAUCCAUGUCUAGGAUAUGAAAGGUCACCUCGAAAUCCACCGCACCAAUAGUUAGAAUCAAAUCAAUCUCACUUAUGGUAUCUCUCUUGAUGCCAUCAAAGGCACGCACACAGACGUUGUUGGGCCUGAUUCUCUCAGUACCGAUCUCUAUUCUUUGCAGAGUUGAGAGAUGGCAGAUAUCUACUCCGGAACCACCAUCCAGCAUGACCCUUUUCACAUAGUACCCCUCACAUUUAACUGUCAGAUGGAGGGCUUUAUUUUGGGCGGCCCCUUCCGGGGGCAAAUCAUUCUUGCUGAAAGAAAUUUGAUUGACUGCAAAAAAUCUCUCUGCCAUCCUUUCCAGCUGUUCCACAAUGAUUUCAAUGGGAACAUACACUUUAUUGAGGGUUCUUAUUAACACCUUCUGAUGCUCGGUUGAAUUCAUUAACAGAGACAAUAAAGAGACCUGGGCAGGAGACUUUCGGAGUUGGUCAAUUACCUCAUAGUCCGUAGUUUUCAUUUUCCUGAAGAACUCUUCUGCUUCUUCGGCACUAAUUGGCUUCUUGAGUGGGAAACUCUUCUUCGUGGCAUUAUUCACUUUCUCCAGAUUAAGGUACUUCCCAGAUGG